GUCCUGGUACCUAAAUCAGUCACACUAAUCAACUUAUGCAGCAUGGGUUAGCACGAAUCUAUGAGCAAUCAAAUUGAAAGCUGAUUAACCAUAUUGGCCAAAUAAGUGAGAUCAGUGAGAGAGAUAUGCCAUUAACUUACCAUAGACUCAAUCUAUGUGAGUAGCUCCCAAUUAAUGACCACCGAUCAAAAUUGCCAAACUUAUCUUAAACACCAAUUGAUUCAUUAGUUUCAAUUUGGUUUAUCUAAAGACUCGAGGUCGACCACUGAGCCACGAUCGAGGUCCAUCUUGGUCCAAUCAAAGACAUGGACUUGACCAACUUUAACUAUUGUAUUGGUUCUAAAGAAAUCCUGAUUUAAUCUAGUUCAACUUUGAUUAGAUUUAAUCAAUUUCUUUAUUAAGUUCAUUGAUUCUAACUUUAGGUCUAACCCAAUUAAGAGGAUCUGAUCAAGCUAACCCAUGGAUCCAUGUUUUAUGUGAAUGUCAUUAGAUCUUUAAUUCACAAUUCUAAAUCUAAUUGAUUCAACUUAAUUCUCAAUUAAGUGUAAGAUUUAUAUGAAUUUAUUGUUUAAGUUUGAAAUAAUUUUAAUUUUUAAUUUUAUAAAUAAUUUACAACUGAUUUAUGCAAAAAUUUUCUGUUCUGAAACUGGAUCGGCCAUCCCUGGACUGAGCUGGGUAACAUCAGUGGAUCGAUCAAGUCUGCUAUUGGGUCGGCUAACUGAUGAUGAACAGUAACUAUUACUGUUCGUCCUGCGACAACUGGGUCGGUUCAGUUAGCACUGAGUCGACUAAACUAGGAGACUGGGUUGGCUCAAUUCAAAACUGAGUCGGCCCAGUAGCAUGCCAAUAGAUUUUUUAGAGUUUCAACACUUAAAAAUCCUACAUAAGUUGAAAUAAAAUCAAUCAUAAAUGAUUUUUUAGAUCAUAUCUAAAUAUUUUAUAAUUUCAAAUUUUAUUUCUCAUGAUUACAAUAAUUUUAAUCAUAUAGAUUAGAUGAUUUUACUUUUCUUAAAAAAUUAUAUCACGUACAACAAAUCUUAGAGUUUCAAAAAUUUAGGGUUUUACAGAAAAAUAAGUUUUCUUCCUUUGCAUUUCAUCUUCAUGAAUAAACAUCACCCCUACAUGCCAUAAGAGAUCUCAGGAAUGAGAGGAGAAGGUCAUAAAACCCUACUUUCUUCUAUGAUCAGAUGGCCAAGAAAGUUCAAUUCAAUUAUUAUGCUACUAGGUAUCUAAUUUAGUCAUAUCACAUAUGAUAAAAUUUAGAUCUAAUCUAAAUCAUACAAGAUCUAAUCAAAAUCAGAUCAUGAGCAUAAAUAUUAUUUAGAUCUAAUUUAAAUAAUAAAAAAUUAGAUCUAGUAUGCAUAUAUAAUCAUGUUAUACCGAACCUGGCUUUGAUAUCACUAAAGAAAAACUGGCAAGCGCAUAGCAUGUAUUAAAACUUUUAUGCAGUAAAAAAUAUGUGAUUAAAUAAUUUAAUCUACAAUACAUGCUUAAGAUCUGAUCUUAAUGCCUAUCCUAGGAUCUAUAACAUAUCAUAUAUGCAUACAAAGAUCGAAAAAAGAAAAUCAGCAUGCAAGAUCAUUGUUGGAUUUUCAUGUCGAGAUAUGCAUAUAUGUUUCAAAAAAAAAAUUUCAAACAAUACAAUGGGAUAGAAGAUUAAAAUAUCUUUUAAUCUAAAUAAUAUAUGUAUAAAAUAAAGAACACAUAGAUCUACAUCAUAUACUGAAAUUGAAUACAUGCUGAAUUUUAUGCUGAAAUUAAAUAUAUGAUCGAAUCACAUAUCUGUUUUAUAAUUCAUUUCUUCAAAUCUGGAUCUAAAAAAAGUAGGUUCUUUCUAAGCCGCGUAAGUAUCCGAUCUCUACAGGUAUCCACUCAGGAUCAGCCUAGAAUAGCCCUCUUUGAUGUUGAUCUUUCUUCUUCAAGAACAAUCAUCCUGCAAAUCUAAACGAAGUCUGGAUUGCGAGCAACUCUUUGAUCCUUUUUUUGAUCCUCUUCUUCUCUUCUUUUCUUGAUUAUAAAGUAACCAAGAUCUAAAAAUCAGUAAGAAAGAGGAGACACCCAAGCUUCUCUUAGACAUGAAAAUGGAGGACGCCCAACCUUUGGACAUUGGAACUAGAAGGGAGAAGAGAUGGAGAGGCAGGGGAACUCUUAGGAGGCAUGGAGGUUGCUGAAAUUCUGAUAUUAAGAGCCCUAGAGAAGACCCCUUUAAAUAGACAAAAAAUUUGAAUCCUAUUCAAAACUAAAUAGUCCCUUAAUACAAGUCCUACUUACAUUAGAAAUCCUUAUUGCCUUAGAUAUUUGACCUCCUUUAGGAGAUCCAUUAGGUACCAACUAUUGGAGCCUUUGUAUCCACUUUUUCACAUGCCACAUGGGGCCUAAGGGAUGCCCCAUACUAAUCCCAUACGUCCUCUUUUAGGUGGGCACACCCAACUUGAUCAAAUCAAGUAGCGCCCCAUGUAAAUAAUUAAGAAAAUUGAUUAAGGGUUUGAUCCCUUAAUUCAUAUGAUCCAAAAUUCUAGACACCCAACAGUUAGAGCCCAAUAAAUUUAAUUCAUUUAGAUUAUUAACAGAUAAUUAACUUAAAUUAAUCUUCUCAAAUAAAAAAUUUAAAUAUAAAGAAAAAAUUGGAUUCAAUCAUGUGCUAGCAAGAUUACUCUGAAUCCAAUAGGAUUUUUCUAAACUUAAUUAAAAUUUCAUAAGCUCAAUUACUUAUUCUAAAUCUAAUUUCUUUGUUGUGUAACCUCAUAGGUUCAAUUCUAUCUGGUAGUGAGAUAUACUAUGAUCUCUAUCAUAGUAUCAUUAAAAUUCUAUUCAAUAGGUUGGAAUGAUUCUACUCUAACUCAUUAAAGAUUAUCGAUCCUGAGUAACCCUAGUGAGCUCUCACAAUCCACCAGUGAUACUUAGCAGUAUAUAGUGGUAAUCUAAUAGAAUCGAAAAAGAACCUCAAAGUGUAGUUCACAUAUGAUUCAGCCUUUCUACCAUGAGUUCUGAUUAGAUAGUAGGUUAUGAUAAAUCGUCAAACUCCAUCAUCAGUCAUAUGAUUGAUUCAAUCAGCUCAAGUUUAAUUAUGAUUCUCAUAAAAAAAAAUUUUCAUCAAUCACACUGUUGUGACCACAAACUAUCAGACUUAGUCUCUCAAAUCUCAUAGGAUUACUCCUCUCUAUCAAGGUCGAUAGAUUCCAUCUAGAUGCGCAUCCUACUCCCAUAGUAGACCAACUGUCACCAACAUCCACUACAAGGUCUCAAUGAAGUUAUGUUUAUGUAUUAAUCAAAUUUCAGUAGCCUCACUGUGUGUAGCCAUACCAUCGUAGAUCAAAAGAUCAUUCACACAACUACAGCAUCAAGACGAUCACUGACGAUUGAUUAAAAAUCCAAGUGAUCUCUCAUAUANNNNNNNNNNNNNNNNNNNNAUUGUACAUACAAAGAUUCAUCCAUCUCGAAAGAAGCGAUCUAUGCAUUGAUCUAUCCAGAUCGAUUAUCAUCUUCACGAUGAUACUAUGAUCGGGAGUAUUUAAGAAUUUUAUACAUGUCUCUAAUUUUCAAUACUUUAAAAAUAUGUAUUGAAGUAUUAAUUCUAUGAACGAUUCAAGGACAUAUCACUCUUGAAUGAAAUAAAAUUUAUCUUUUUAUUGAUCAAAUCAAUGUACUAAAUAUAAAAUUAUAUCCUACAUUUAUUAUAAUGUAUCAGUCGUAUUGGCUUCUUGAACAUACAUCUAACAAUCACAUCUAAACAUACACUUGUAGAUCACAUCUACAUAUAGAUUAAAUUUAGAACUUGAUACCUGAGCACCGAUAGAAGGUCCCUGCAUUUGAAUCACAAGGACUCAAAGGAUGCUCACAGUCGCACAGGAUGUUCAGCCUCUAUGGUUGGUCUACCAAAGUCCUGCGCUGAUCGAUCUCCUUGAAAAUGCUAGUUCACAAGAAGACUUACUGGAUAGCUAAUCUACUCCUCUCUUGGGAUCUCCCAGACUCCUCCAGAUCUGAAGAUGAAGAAGGAGGAUGUGGUGGACAAGAUAGAAGAGAACUUUCUUUUUUCUUUUAUUUUUUCCUCACCAAAAAUUCUAGAUCAGAUCUAGGUUUUUGCUCACCCAAGAGGAGGAAGAACUCCUCUAUGCUCACAUGCCAAAGAUGGCCGCCCAACACCAAGACCUCAUGCCCAAAAUCCUAAUCUCAUGCAAGAGAAUUCUCAUAAAGAUCUGAUCUUUUGUCACACAAAAAUCAAGGACUUUCAUAGAUGGUAUGGAUGGAGAGAUAGAGUCCAAGUUCAAAUCAAAUUCGAACCAAGAUAAGGAUCAAGUUCCAAGCUUAAUUCAAAUCUAAUUUAAAUUCAAUUUGAACCAAAUCUUAUCUCAUCCUUAGGGCUCUCAGAGUGGGCGACAUAAAACCUUUUAGCAUGGAGAUUCUCACACAAAUUUGAAUUUGCAUUGGGAAGAGGGUGCACGCACAAUGGUGGUUGGUGGCUAGGAGAGUCCAAGCUAGUUUGGACUCUUAGGGUUUAUCCAAUAAGUCUCCAACCUAAUCAAAUUAGGUUAGAGCCAAUUGAAUAACUUGAAUUCAAUCUAAUUAAGUUCUAAACUUGAUUAAAUCAGAAUUUAAUCAGUCUCAAUUUUUUAUCAAAUCAAAAAUUAAUCAUCCUUAGCAAUUAGGUUAAUCUGAUCGAAUCCAAUUCAAUCAGACUUGAAUCAAAUUACAUUACUUAAUCAAAUUAAGCUAAUCAGUAAUCCAAAUGCUUAUCAAUCCUCCUUUAAUUCACUAACCAUUAGUGAAUUAAUUCAUUAUAACUUUUGCAUCAAGUUAAUCAUCAAUCGAAUUGAUGAUUAAAUCCUAAAAUGCUUCUCAAUCAUUGAUCAGCUACUUGAUCAGAUAGAAAUUUCUUUCGAGUGUGACCCCAUAGGUUUGAACCUAAACCAAUAGCAUAAGAAUAAUUUUUUGAAAUAAUCGAUAUAACCAUCUAGCAAUAAGACCCGACAUUUGGAUAGAUUGAAUGAUUGCAAAGCAACAUUCAAGAACCUACAGACAUAUAGUUACCAUAUAAUUCAUCCCUUUAAUCCUAAUGCUCAAGAUGAUCUAGGGUUUAACUAUCCAUCCUGAAAUAGUCUAUCACAUUGUAUCUCAACUUUUCAAAUCCAUCACAUAGAUUAUUCUGAUCAAGAUUUUACUAAAUUGAAAUACAGUGAUGCAUUAACUCUUGAAUUCAGAGGGAUCAAUCCCAUCUUGACUCACACACUGACUUAACAAGUACUUGACUGCAUCCAAAAAUCUUUCAUCACUGAAUUAGAAAUUCAAAUAAUCUAACAUCAAAGUACAGUGAAUUGUUUGUAAGUCAUCAUGGUGAUCUCAGAUCGGAAAGAUACUUAUAUCCAUACCCUUUGCGAGCUACUCUUGACUGUAGAGCACUCCGCAAUUGGUCACGUUCAAUGCAAGUGUACUCCUACACUACAUCUGCAUACCAUAUUAGUGUCUCUACACUCUUAGUUAAGAGGACAACCAACCCAUAUGGCACACAAUGACCUACACUUGAUAUCACUAUUGUCUUAUUAAUAGCGUAUUGUUUGGAUGCGAAUAUGUUUAAGGACUAAAUGAUAAAUCCUCCUUUAUCAAUUUAAAAUAGUCCUAAGGACUUCAUCACAAUACAUGAGUUUAUAUAGAAGAUGUGCAAAAAUUUGUGAUGAAUAACGUUAAAUAACAUUUAUUAUUGAAAAAUUCAUAUACAAUUAUAAAAUGAGCACAACCAUCAACAGGCUAACGAUUGACUUUGGAACAUAAUUUUCAACACAAUCACUCUUUGUUCGAUGAGCACAUCCUUCACCCUCACUUAUCAUAGGGAGAAAUUACUCUUUCUAUCAUAUCAGUUGAUCUCUAUCUUGAUUGAGUCUAUCUUCUCUAUCUUUUUCAACCUCGAUCAAUACUGCUGCAAUUUGGACAAUCACAUACUUUGAUACUACUUUUUGGGAUGGAUCUCUCAUGAGUGCAGAAUACGGAUCCCCCACUCAAAAUUGCUAACACUGGUAACGAUAUCGAUACCACAACAAGAAGGAAGAGGAGAUAUAAAAAAGACACAAUGAAAUAUAUGGAUCAGCCCAAUACUUAUCUUCACGGGGCAUGCAAGUUUCAUUAUGAAAGAAAAUAAAUACAAGAGGUGAUCAAAUACUCUCAACCCUAUACAUCAACCUCUCUCUCUACAAGAAGCACAAAACCCUUAGAAUGCUCUCAAAAAUCCCAAAGAAGACCCUUUGCCACUCUUCAAGAUCCUCAGGCUCGCUUACUGCUCCACAGAUCGUCAAGCCUCUUUAAUAGGGCCUAAAUCGAGUCCUAGCCGCAUCCAUACUUCUGUUGGGACUCAAAAUCUUUUCUCGACCGUUCGAUCGCUCCCGCACGCACCAUGGCCGCUUGAUCGCUCAAGAUCGCAUGUCUGCAUGUGUCACCGUGCAGUGCAUGCACUCGCAUGAUGGAUCGUGAUAAAGACCGAGUGAAGUGCCUCCUGGACUGCGUGUGGAUCGCACGGUGCGUUCGCUGUGCGCCCGCAUGGUGGACUGCAUGUGCAUCGUGCCCCUCACAUGCGAGCACACCCUGGAUCUUGCAGUGUACUGCGCAGUGGUCCAUGCAUCCUAGGCUGCGCGCGCUAGGCCUGCACGCUGCGAGCCAUGCACCUGCAGGCUUCUCCUCUUGGGCCUUGCGUGCUGGGCUUAUCUGCUGUGGACUUCUCCAUCUUGGGCUACUGUGAGUCGAAUUCGAGGCACCAAAAUCGAACAGAUGGUUUGUGGGAGGCUUGGAGGAGAAGGAUAAGGAGGAGAAGUGGAUGGGAAGGAAAAAGAGGAGGAGAAGAAUGGAUGGAGAAAAAGAAGGAGGAGAAAGUGAAGGAGGAGAAUGGGUGGGAAAAUGAGAGGAGAAAGGAGGAGGGAGAAAAAGGAGGAAGGGAAGGAGGAGAAAUGGAUCAGAAGGAAGGGGAGGAGGAGAAAGGAGAGGAGGAAGGAAGAGGAAGAAAGAUGGACGCCGGCUAUGGAGGAGGAAGAGAUCAAUCGGAGAGAAGGGAGGAGAGAGGAGAUGGGUAUUUUUAUCAUUUUAAAAAAAAUUAUUAAUGAAGAUAGAUAAUUGGACCACAUCAGAAUAUAUUGAUAACUAGAAGGGUUAGUUUGACACUUUUUAAAGUAUAGGAGAUGUGAGUGAAAUUGAACUAAAAUUGAAAGAAUGUUUCUAUAAUUUUUUUAUUUUUGUCCUAAUCCUGCCACCACCUGACACCACCAACCCCCCCACCCCACGCGCAAAAGCCACCCAACAUCAAAUAUGCUAUAACUCCUAUACGAAAAAAAAAUAUACAUACCUGUUGGGGUAAGUCAAUCGACCCCUGACUCAAGUCAACCAACCCCCGACUCUGACUCAACAAAAGCCGAUCGAUUGCAUAUACAACUUUGACUAUGCAUCGACUGACUGGACAAAUCACACCGACUAAUGGUCGGCAAAUCGACUGACAUUCGACUGCUAUCGGUCAACAGCAGACAACUUGAAUAACCUCCGACUCAAGACCGUCAGCACAUCAGAACUACUAGUCGAUGGUUUGCUUGAACCUUCUACCGACAUAUCAAUAUCACCGACAUAUAGUCGGCCAAUCUGCUCAACAUACUAUAAUCGUUAUGAGCGGUUAUCGACUAUGUGUCAUGGUAAUUAGUGAGAGUUAACGAUCCACUAACUCUAUAAUUAUGAUCCGCUAAUUUAGCACCAUAAAAAGCAGAACCACAUGCUCGAUGGUUACAUCAGAAUCACCUAUAAAAAGGAGAGUAAGUGAACAGUACCAGUAAGACACUUUUGAGCCAGACCUCUGCUACUCUCAAUAUUCAAAUCUACUGUUCACCAAUUCUUAUUCUGACUUAAGCAUCGGAGGAUUUUUGUCGGAUACAACUUCGGUCUGUGAGAAUGCUAUUUUGCAGGUGCUCAUCACCAAUGACAGGCGAUAGAGAGUUGGCUAUAACAGAUUGGCAUGCUAGGUAGGGAGAAAAUCUAUAAUCAAUCAUGCUGAAAAUUAGAGUCCAACAUUCAACUGGCUCGACGAGGCACUCUUCCUAUCGGAAAGAUGUUCCUCCUCUACUUUUGGUAGCAGAGUCCAGUUCCUCGCAUCCCGUGGUCACCAUGGACACCCAGAUCGCUGCACUUGUGCAGCAGAUGAAUGUUUCGACGGAGGUGGUCAAAACUCUCCAACAACAGCAAACCCAGCAGCAGCCAUUGAUAAAUCAACCAGUGACGCAAUCGGUGCCAUCCAGGCACAGCCACCAUCCUCCACGACGAUCACCUUCCUCCUCCUCGGAGCGACUGUCUCGACAUUCCCAUCAAGAUGAACAACCACGCUCUGGCACUUUUGUCGUGCCACCCACCAUUCACGACGUUCUCCCUCUUCUUCUCGUGCACACAGUAUUAGGAAGGAGAAACAGCCACGGACACCUUCUGUCUCUCCUUUGAACUCAUCGAGGGGUUCCACCCCUGGAGUUUCUCAACAGCGACGGCUGGAUGACUAUGAAUGCAAAUUUUAAAAAAUUGAUCGUCAGCUCGCCCGACUUCAGGUAGGAGGUCGGAAGUCUUCUAAUGACUAUGACUUUCACACUACCCAGCCUCUCUCUCGAUGCAUCCUUGAUGAACUAAUUCUUUCUCGACUCAAGAUGCCGCAAGUGGAGUCAUACGACGGCUUCACCGACCCCAUUGAUCACUUGGAGAGCUAUAAAGCUCUCAUGAUGAUCCAAGGGGCAACCGAUGCCCUCUUAUGCAUUGACUUUUUGAUAACUCUUCGGAAGGCUACUCAAGCCUGGUACUUCGGACUUCAGUCAGAAAGCAUAGACUCCUUCGAGCAGCUCGAGCAUUCUUUCGUGGUCCACUUCAGUACUAGCCGAAGGCUGUCAUGAACAUCUGACAGUCUUUUCUCGAUCAAGCAGGGUGAGACAGAGACACUGAGAGACUUCGUGGUCCGCUUCAACAUAGCCACACUUGAAGUCAGAGAUCUCAACGAAGACAUGGCUAUAUCAGCCAUGAAAAGGGAUCUGAGGGGAUCCAGAUUUACUUACUCUCUUAACAAAACUCUCCCUCGGACCUAUACUGAACUUCUAAGGCAUGCAUACAAAUAUAUUCGUAUGGAUGAAGUUGCUUCUGACCAACGUCAAACAAGUAAAAAAGGUCAGAAGAAGAAACAAAAGAAAAAUGAAACUCCAACCGAAUCAAGUUGGCUAUCUCUUAAUAAGCGAGCUUCACCUCGACGACAAAGUCCAAAGUCGAGUUAUGGCAGGUAUGACUCCUAUACUCCUCUCUCUUCUCCUCGUGCACAGAUUCUCAUGGAGAUCGAAGAAGCAGAAUACCUACGACACCCUCCAUCGAUGAAGGCGCUCUCGAAGAACCAUGAUCGGAGAAAGUAUUAUCGGUUCCAUCAUGAUCACAGUCAUGCUACCGAACAAUGUAUCUAGCUCAGGGAUGAGAUAGAGGUCUUAAUUCGAUGAGGCUAUCUCAGGAAGUACUGAAGGGAUCAACUGACUCAACCUCUUGCUGACCGACGACCUCAGUCACAAACUGAGGAGAUUAUCAACAAUCAGCUGACUGCAGGGGUGAUCAACAUGAUCUCCAGAUGAUCGAACUGGGGGGUAACUUUCGAAGAAAAGUCGACAAAGAAGUGACGACUCAAUGAUGUAAUAACUUUUUCAAAAGAGGAUGUUCGGAGAAUUCAAACUCUCCAUGAUGAUGCUGUUGUUGUUUCAGCAACAAUAGCAAAUUAUGGUGUAAAAAAAAUCCUUAUAAAUAAUAAAAGUUCGACUGAUAUUUUAUUUUACUCGACUUUCUUUUGAAUGCAACUACCGACUGAUCGACUCAGAAGAGUCUCGACGCCAUUGGUCGAUUUCACUGAAGGUGCUAUGACUGUAGAAGGAAAAAUCUCUAGUUUCACUGGAGAUGCUGUGACUGUAGAAGGAAAAAUCUCUCUCUCCUUAACCGCGGGAACUGAACCACAACAAAACACUGUUCUUAUAACAUUUAUGGUUGUCCGAAUUUUUUUGACUUAUAAAGCCAUACUCGGAUGACCUAGUCUUAAUGCAUUAAGGGCAGUGAUCUCGACAUAUCAUCUGCUAGUUUGAUUUUUGAUAAAAAAUAGAGUCGGAAAGAUGCACGGAGAUCAACAGCUCAUCCGACGCUGCUUCUUAGUCUCCACACAAAAUAAUAAAUCUGAAGACUCUGCCCAUCGACAAAUUAGAUCAAAGAGAGAAUCAGGAGCGGGGUGAACCAGCUAAGCAAUUGAUUUCCAUCUCAUUAAAAGAAGAAGAUCCUGAGAAGACGGUCCAAAUUGGAUCGUAGCUAUCUGAUCCGAAGCGACAGCAAUUAAUAAACCUACUAAGAGCAAAUACCAAUAUUUUUGCUUGAUCGGCCAUCGAUAUGUCGGGCAUUCUUCUAAAAGUAAUAACUCACCGACUCAACAUCAAACCGAAUGUCAAGCCGGUGAGACAGAAGAAACGAUCUUUUGCUCCUGAAAGAUAAAAGAUCAUUGAUGAAGAGAUCGACAAGCUCCUCAUGGCAAGCUUCAUCAGAGAAGCUACUUAUUCCGAUUAGCUCACCGAUGUAGUGAUGGUGAGGUAGGCUAAUAAAAAAUGGAGAAUUUACAUUGACUAUACAGAUUUGAAUGAAGUUUGUCCAAAAAAUAGCUUUCCAUUAUCGAAGAUUGACCAAUUGGUUAAUAUGAUUUUAGGCCAUUGACUUUUAAGCUUCAUGGAUGCCUUCGCCAGAUAUGAUCAAAUUUGGAUGGUGCUUGAAGAUGAGGAGCACACAGCCUUCGUAACCGACAAAGACAUAUACUGUUAUAAAGUGAUGCCUUUCGGUCUGAAAAAUAUCGGAGCCACCUACCAACGGCUUGUCAAUAAGAUCUUCAAGACACAAAUUGGAUGCAACAUGAAAGUAUAUGUGGAUGACAUACUGGUGAAGAGUCUCCAAACUUCAGAGCAUGUUCGGGACCUUGAAGAGGCAUUCAGCACACUUCGACGAUAUCAAAUGAAGUUGAACCCGACUAAGUGUACGUUCGGAAUGACUUUCAAAAAAAUUUUCAAAUUUCUUGUGUCACAAUGAGGAAUCGAGGCCAACUAUGAGAAGAUAAAGGCUAUCAUCAACAUGAAGCAUCUGAGAUCGAAGAAAGAGAUACAGCAACUCAAUGAAAGAAUCGCUACACUCAACUGAUUUAUAUCAAGAUCAGCAGAAAGAUGCUUGCCUUUUUUCAAGAUCUUGAGGCAAUCAAACGACUUCAUAUGGUCAGAUGAGUGCCAACAGUCCUUCGAAGACUUGAAAAAAUAUUUGGCAUCUCCACCUUUGCUUACAAAACCAAAGGUCAGAGAAAUUUUGUAUCUCUACUUGGUGACAUCAAUGGAGAUAGUGAGUUCGGUGCUUGUCCAAGAGGAUGAAAAUCAAAUUCAACGGUCGAUCUACUACAGUAGCAAGGUGCUUCACAAUAUCGAAGUGAGGUAUUCAAGAGUGGAGAAAAUGAUCUACGCUCUAAUCAUAUCAUCGUAACGAUUUCGUUCGUACUUUCAGGCACAUCCAAUUAUGGUCUUGACAAAUCAGUCAUUGAAGGCGAUCUUACAUCGAUCUGAUACAUCGGAUCGAAUGGCAAAGUGGACAGUAAAACUUAAUGAAUUUGACAUACAAUACCACCCAUGUCCGUCAAUGAAGGCAUAAGUUUUAGCCGAUUUCGUCACCAAAUGUACAAUAUCCGAUAGUAAACUAGAGGAUGAAACUUGUGAUACAAUAAAACAAGCCACGACUCUUGAACCCGACUUAACGUCGGCUUAGGUGCUGCAUAUUGAUGGAGCAUCUGAUGCACAAGGUAGUGGAGCUGGCCUCAUUCUUACAAAUUUCGAUGGGAUGAUUACUGAUAUGCCCUUCGAUUCAACUUCAAAACAUCAAAUAAUCAAGCCAAAUAUGAAGCAUUCUUAACUGGCUUGAAGAUUACCAAGAAACUUGACGUCGAUAGUCUAAAAGUCUUUACCGACUCGCAAUUAAUUGCUGGACAGGUCAAGGAUGAAUUUGAAGUCCGAGAUCCUAUCAUGAUAAAGUAUCUUCAAAAAAUGAAGGAUCUUAUAUUAACCCUAAAAUACUUUGAGAUCUUUCACAUUUUAAGAAUAAAAAAUGCUCAAGCCGACACACUCUCCCGACUUGCUACUACUUCUUUUAACUCGCUGGGACGGACAUUCGUUGAAUGCCUCAAACAGCCGAGUAUCGACAAAGUCGAUAAAGUAUUACAACUCACUGUUGAACCAAGCUGGAUGGAUCCGAUUGUCCAGUACCUGACCAACGGGACUUUUUUUAUGGAUCCUUCAGAAGUCAAACAACUCUGAUGGAUGGCCUCUCAAUACAUUCUGAUGAAUGGUCAUCUCUAUAAAAGGUCAUUCUUCCUUUCCUUACUAAAGUGUUUGGGACCAAUAGAUGUCGAUUAUGCACCCAGAAAAGUCCACAAAGGAAUUUGUGGAAAUCACUUGGGGGCAAAUCUCUAGCCUACAAGAUCCUACGAUAAUGAUACUAUUGACCCACCAUGAAGAAAGAUGCAGCUGAACUUGUUCAGAGGUUUAAACCAUAUUAAAGAUAUGCAAAUCUACAAUAUCAAUCGGCCAGCCAGCUAAUAUCGAUUGUUGCACCAUGACCCUUCGCACAAUGAAAAAUCGAUAUACUUGGUCCUUUUCCUCCGAUGUUUGGUCAGAGAAAGUUCAUAGUGGUCACUAUCGACACUUCACUAAAUUGGUAGAAGCUGAAUCUCUGACAUAAAUUACUAAAAGUAAGAUAGAAGACUUUAUUCAGAAAUCAAUUAUAUGCAGAUUUGGUUUGUCAUAGACCAUCAUCACUGAUAAUGGUCGGCAAUUCGACAAUCAGAACUUCAAAGAGUUCUGUACGAAAUUUUAUAUUACGUACAAACUCACAUCAGUUGGCCAUCCACAACCCAACGGAGAGGUGGAGAUAACCAACUGAAUAAUUUUAUAUGGACUCAAAAUCUGACUGAAUGAAGCUAAAGACCUCUGGAUGGAAGAACUAUAUCCGGUCUUAUGGGCAUACCAAACAACUCCUCACAUACCGAUGGAAGAAUCGUCAUUUAAUUUGGCUUACGAAAUAGAAGCAAUGAUCCUGCUCGAGAUCAGAUUACUGUCAAUGAGGGUCGAGCAAUACAGUGAGUCGAGCAAUUUCAAAUAUCGAAGAGCCGAUUUAGAUCUACUUUUAAAAGUCCGACAGCAAGCUCAAGUUUGGAUAGCUACAUAUCGGCAAAGGAUAGUUCGGUAUUAUAAUUCAAGAGUCAAGCUGAAGGUCUUCCGAUCAUGAGACUUGGUUCUAAAGAAAGUAGAAAUCUUAAAACCUUUGGAUCAAGAAAAGCUAUCUCCGAAUUGGAAAGGACCUUAUAGAAUAGCCGAAACACUCAGACUAGGCGCAUAUCGGCUAGAGACACUUGAAGGGUCAGCUAUUCUUCGAAUAUGGAAUGCUGACAAUUUAAAAAUAUAUCAUCAAUAAAAUUAUCCAUGUAUACAUUGUUCGAAAUGAAAUACAGAAUUUCAAAAUCACAAUUCUCGAUCGGCUACGAAAUAAUUUUGAACCGAUAAGUGAACGGUCGACUUAUAUCAACCAUCGAUCAUAUGUCGGCUUUCACCGUAAAAGUCGAACUACCGACUAUAUCUCGGCACAGAAUUUACCUCGAUUUUUCACUGUAAAAAUCGACAUUAAUCAUAUCGGCUUUCAUUGUAAAAGCUGUAAUACCGACUAUGUCUCGAUACCAAACAUACUUCGGCUUUCCAUUGCAAAAGCCAAUCAUAGUCGAAAGACUAUGAUGCCGACUUAAUCCUAACUAAACAGAAUAUUAUGCCAAUACGACUAAAGUUGGAUUGAAAUCAUACUAACUUAGUUACGACUAAUCGAAGGAUAUUUGGCUUACUACCGAUUAUCAAAUGACUUGACGUACAAACCCGACUAAAUAUCGGAUGCAGGGUAUUUCAACUUAUCCUAAUUCUUAAGUAUGUCAAAAAAACUAUGCACAGAUAAUUUUAUAAGUCCUAUCGAACGUUUGGUUCGUCAAUUGAUGUUCGGUAGCUAAAUAAUUACUUUACAUUGCAGACAAACAAAAUGAAGAGUCUGGACAUAGACAAAGUUCUUUUCAUUUAUUGCCAAAAAGAGAUAUUACAAAAUUGAACCGAAGUCCAAUUACAAGUGUUUGAUUACAAGAAGAAAAAUAACAAUACACCGAUCAUCAGUCGUCGCCUUCAUCUCUUUGCUCUAGAGUAACUUCAAGGACUUGGAUGACUUCUGAUGCUGUCAGUGUCCUUCCUUCAGUCAGUACUACAUCUUCUUCAGUAGCUCCAUCUUCCAACCUAGGAGGGACGAUGCUGCUCAAGUUGAGAUUUGGGUAUAAUUUUUCAACCACAUCUCGACCGUCUUCAUACCCAACACAGUAGGAGGCGAACCCACCUUCGAGGAUCUCUUCCUUGGAUUCUUCUGAAUUUUUGAAGUCCUCGAUUGUCCGACUCAACGCCUCCCUCACCGACUCUGCUUCCACCUUCACCAACUCAACAUCGGCUCGUACAGAAGAUGACUCCUCUUCGGCCAGUGCCAACCUUUCCAGGCUGGCCCGAUGUCAUCCACAUUCAGCUUUGAGUUCAGUAAUACAUCCGUCUCAUUUCCGUCGAAGUUGAUGGAUGGAGUGUUUCUUGCUCUUGACCUGUAACUCAAGAGUCAAAAUAUUUUGGUGAGCCGACUCAAGUUCAGCUCCAGAAGAUUCUAAGUCAUCAAUCAAUCAAAAAAUUUUCUACUGAAGCUUGGCCUCUCGCUCAGCUGCUGACUUAAGCUGCUCGAGGGCAGCCACCUUCUGAGCAUCGACGGCCGUCACUUAUUCAUCCAUGUCUGACAGAAGUUGUCGAACUUCACAUAGUCGGCUUCUAGGUCAGACAUGUCGUGGAUCAACUGCAGACAGAAGAUGAGCCGGAUCAGAUUAAAAAAAAGAAGAGUAGUAAAAAAAAGAGUGAAAGCAGCUUACCCCAAGUAUUAUCGAGUAGAAGGAUGAGAACAUCUCAGCCACCAUCCGGUUUCUUCGACUCUCCCGAUCGAUCGGGAGAAGAGCGGCUUGGAUGAGCUGCUUAGCCAAUGUCGGAUUGGCUAGAGCUGACUCAUCUUAGGGACUCUAAGGUCAAAGUGGAUCGUGUGCCCCUCCGACGCUGCAUCGCCCGUCGAAGUCACCGGAGCUUUUCUCCGAUCUUCUGUCGGUGGCCCCACAUUCGAAAGUGAGAGAAAGCUUGAACUCGACUACGUCAGAGAAACUACUACUGAAAGAGCAACUGGUACAGCUACAGAUUGCUCAGGUUCGGCCUCAGCCUCCACCUCAGCCCGAACCUCCUCGAUUGGUGGAGCUAUCGACGUUGCUGCAGCAGCUCCUUCUCUCACCAUUUCUUCUUCAAACGGUGCAGUGGGAAGCACUGUCGGGGCUAACAGCAUCAAGACUGGCUCAAAAAUUGAUGCAGAUGGCACAUCGAGUUCCUCAGUCGACGUUGAAGCAGUAACUCGACUCUUCUUGGAUGGUCAGAAAAGACCAGCCUCGAAUGCUGUCCUCUUCUUCGCAGCAUGUUGACAAAUGUUGGCGCUCGACACUCGCACCUUCAGCUACAUGGCUACAAUCAGAAUAACAAAAGUCAGUACGAUUCAGAAACAAACAAAAAAAAUAAAGUUGGAAGUAACUGACUAUACUAUACCUAAGUUGGUGAUCGAACUGAGACCGACGUCAUAGAGAGCCUGUUCAGUCAUAAGCUCUCUCUGUGGUGAGACCGUCAUAUCCUUCAGUCGAUGGAAGUCCUCCCGAUCGCCGACCUCUACUCGAUUGUUAUCGUUGGGGCCGAUUCUUGGAUCGCCCCAGUGAGAAGGAAAGCCCCAAGGAAGAGAGGAAGAAACAAAAAAAACUGAUUCUUCCGUCCAUGGAUGGACGAUGAAAGAUCAAUAAUAAAAAAAAACCUUUUCGAAGGUUGAAGAACCACCAACUCUUGACCUUUGGAUGAGGUCAGAGGACAAAAAAAACACGAAAAAGGGAAGGACGAGAUUCGAUCGGCAAUAACCGACACAAUAGAGCAAAAUUAGUUAUUAGCCGGACCGAAUUUGGUGCCAACUGGGUAGGACAAAGACCAUAAUAGUCCAAAAUAUUUCAGACAAUAUCCAGAAUCAGAAAUUGAAGAUCCGUCCGAAGAUCUUCGACAUAAAAAGCCACCUGACUCGAAGGAGGGGCGUUCACCCAACCAUCGGCACCAGGGGCGAAGAGCUGAAAUUACUCUGGGAUGUGAUAUUGCCCCUAAAGCCGAUCGACAUUCGAUUUCGUAAGUGAAGAAGUCUCCACUUUCGGACCCGACGGGGAGUCAUCAGUCGGAUUCUCCGACCGACCAUCCCAAGAGGAGGAACUCCUAGCCAUCGAAGAGAAAAAGACUAAAGGAGACGAAAAAUAAUUCAAAGAAGAUAAAGAACUCAACCUGAAACUCAAAGAGGAAGAUGAGGAAGAAAGAAAAGUCUUCAAAUGCUAGGAUGAUUCUCUGGUAGAGCUUCCGCAACAAAAAAGAUAAAUGAAAAGUAAAAAGUUGGCUGAAAGCGACCCUAUAUACAUAGGAUCCCUCAACGACCAGGAUCGAAGCAUCCAAAUCAAGAUCUCACCAGAUGUUGACACGUGGUGACAUCUGAGCCAACCAUUGAUUGGACAGUUUGAUGCACCUACUCUAGUUCGAGCCACGUCACCACUAUCUGCGUGAACAGCUCCGACCCAAUGACAUUCGGAUACGUGGCAAAGAUCUACUUGUCAAAAUCGUAUCGUCUAGCACCGAAUCAUCUUUUCGAAAUGACAGAAUUUACAACCAACUUCCGACUCUGACUCAACAAACGCCGACCGACUGCACAUACAACUUCGACUAUGCAUCAGCUGACUGGAUAAAUCACACCAACUAAUGGUCAGCAAACUGACUGACAUUCAGCUGCUACCGGUCAACAGCAGACAAUUUGAAUAACCUCUGACUCAAGACCGUCGGCACAUCAGAACUACUAGCCAAUAGUUUGCUUGGACCUUCUACCGACAUAUCAAUAUCACCGACAUAUAGUCGGCCAAUCUGCUCAACAUACUAUAACCGUUAUGAGCAGUUAUCGACUACGGGUCACGAUAAUUAGUGGGAGUUAACAAUCCACUAAUUUUAUAAUUAUGGUCUGAUAAUUUAGCAUCAUAAAAAGUGAGAUCACGUGUUCGACGGUUACAUCAGAAUCACCUAUAAAAAAUGAGGUAAGUGAAUAGUACCGAUAAGACACUUUUGAGCUAGAGCUCUGCUAUUCUCAACAUUCAAAUCUACUGUUCAUCAAUUCUCAUUCUGACUUAAGCAUCGGAGGAUCCUCGUUGGACACAACUUUAGUAUGUGAAGAUGCUAUUUUGUAGAUGUUCAUCAACGACGACAGAUGAUAGAAAGUUGGCCGCAAUAAUUUCAUAACUCAACCACCACAUUAUACUUGGACAACUGACGGACAACGAUGGCAGCUCAGACAACAUUUUCAAUGGUUCAUUCAGUGGCGGACGUAGGAUUUUUAAUUUCUUUGUCUUUUUUUUUUUUUUUUUUGUGUAUUCUUUUGCCACGCCAAAAGUUUUGUGGUAACUUAUUUGCUUUUUUUUUUUUCUUUGGCGUGGAUGAAAAGACGUGUUCGCAAGUCUUUUCUCUAUUUGGUUUUGUUGACUGUUGGUUGUAGCGAGCUAAUCCACUAAAGCGAACUGCAUGCUUAGUGUCCUCGGUUUUUAUUCUAGGUUGGCAUAAUUUAAACUUUCUCUUAGAAUUGGUUUAUAUGCAGGCCUAUCUACCAUGGCUUUCUUCAAUCGACUCUAUCGGAGUGGAUGAUUUUUGGCGGAAAGUGGUCUUUUAUUGGCAUUCUAAUAGCAGAAAUGAGUGAUUCUAUUUAUGAAUAAAUUUCAUGUCAUUCUAAUUGUUGUUGUCUUUUUUCUAAAAUUACAAUAAAGAUGUGUAUGUGUCAGUGUCCAACUACUAAUUAGUUAGCGAGGUUUUUUCAAUAAGAGGGAGUUAAGACUGUUAUUGGGCGUUUUUGAGAUGAUGUGUUUGUUGAAUGUAAAAUGCAUGGUUCUCGAUUGUAGUUUUGGUUCUUGGCUUCUGUUCUUUCUAAUCUUGAGCUUUGUUUCAUGACUUCUUUUUUUUUUUAGAGACAAGGUUUAUUUAGUCACUCGCUUAAUUGGGUGUCCCUGGCUUAUGUUUCAUUAAGGAAGGUGACUGCCUUUCAGGUAUUAUUCGAGAUUGCAUCAAUGGAGGUGUUGAGCUCAAUGAAUUUGGCUUUGGUGCCUGAUCUGAAAGACAUGAGUCAUCGACAAAUAAAAAGAUAAUGAUGUGCUUGCCUUUAUAGGGCUUUAAUUGCAAAGCUCAGUUGGAACCAAGAUGAGUUUUAGUUUUAAGCACGGACUACACUUUGCUUUUAAAUCUAAUUUUCAUAAGAAAAUAAAUACCUUUUAGUUAUCAUUUGAUCUUUGUUUGGUGGAGGAUUUAUUGAUGAGGGACUUUCUAUGGAUGAGGGACUUUCUUCUUGCUAUAGGUGAAUCAGUAGAAAAACUAUAUAGCAGGGAUGGAGGGAGCUCAUGGAGGGUAUCACUUGAAUGCGGGUAUUAACCCCUUCUAUAUUCUCUGCUGACAAAUUUGGUUGAUAUUGUGUUCAUGUUCAUAUUGAUUUGGGUGAUUGAAUUCCAUUUAAAUCUGACUUUGAGCCAAGAUCCAUUUUGGUUUCAAGCGCAGAUCACAAUUACCUUUUAAAUCUGAUUUUUAGAAGAAAACAAAUCCUUGCUAUUAUUGUCUGAUCUAUUAUUGUCUGAUCUAUAGAAAACAAAUCCUUUUAUUUGCUAUAGGUGCAUGGGAUUGAUCAUAAAUAAAUCAGUAGAGAAAUUAGAUCAAGAAAGAUGGAGGUGGCUCCCACAAAGUCGAUCCAUUAAUACAGGUAUUGAUUCUUUCAAUCUUCUCUACCGGUGGAUUCUAAAGUUGUGAUUUGGUUGAUGUUACAUUUGUGUUAAUAGUAAUUUAGUGAUUGGAUUCUAUUUUUAUAGCUUUUAGUGAAAAAAAUUAAAAAAAUAGAGAACAAAAAAUACAUGUCAUAAAUCAAUGCAGAUAGCAUGUUGAAUUUGAAUGAAACAUAAUUUGACAAUAUAAAAGAGAAUUUACCAGCAAGGGAAAAUGCCUAAUAGUCAAGUUGGUACAGAAUUGAUGAUAAUAAUAUUGCUGAAAUUUAGUUAGAUCAAUCUCUCGAAAAGGCAUAUAUUAGUAAUUAGCAUGCUAAUAUAACUGUCUAUCGAGAAAUAUAUAAAUUACAAUACAAUUCAUGAUCUUUAUGAGAUAUUAUUAUAAAUUUUAUAUGCAUUUUAUAACUAUUUAUCGAGAAAAUAUGUAUUUAUAAUAUAAGGUUCCAUUUGGUUGGGGGCAAUUUGGUAUGGAAAAAUGAAUUCUAUAUCAAAUUACUAUGUUUGGUAUGAAAAAGAGAAAAAAAAAAUGGUAAAAAAAUUGAUGGAUCUCAUAUUUAUUUUUUGGAGAGAGAAGGUAAAAUAAAUACCAUGAGAGGGUGGUAUUUGAAAAAUUUUCGAGUGAUAGUAAUCCAUACUUGAUAAAAAUAUCUCUAAUAAAACUACAUAUGUAAUCAUUAAAUUUAUUCUGAUAUCUUUUCAAAUUCAUUCAAUAAAGAGCUUUUGCAAAAAAAUUAAAAUUAAGAUGGCAUCAUGCAAAGGAUUAUGUGAUUAUAAUCAUUAUAUCAAAACUAAUUAAAGAUAAUAUUUUCUAUUAUUUUAUAUUGAAAAGUAUAUUUAUAAAUUUGAUCACAUUCCUAUAUAAAUUUACCUCCAAUCAAACGAAGUAAUCUUUUUCUAAUACUAUUUUUCGGAGUAAUUUUUCUACCAACCAAACAUGGUAAAAAUUAUUUUUUUCGCAAUCAUUUUUUCAGAUAAAUGAUUCCCAUAAAUUAUUAGAUUAUCUCGUAAUAUGAUAUACCCCAAUUAAAUGAACCCUAAAGGUAAUAUGUCAUAAUACAUAUACUCUUUUCAAAGCACAAAUUAAAUUAUUAUGGUGAUAUCAUUUACUUUAUGUUAAAAUCUACAUGAUCAAAUAUAUGUAAACCCAAACUCUUAAACAAAUACAAGUUACCUAGGUGAGUUGUUAGUUUAAAAAUAAUAACAAUAAAGAAUCUUACAUGUACGUUUUAGAAGGCAUGCCAUUAUUUUUCUUUCUUUUUUUUCUCUUUCUUUUGAUAAAAGGGUCACUAGGCAAUAAUAUAUGCAAAUGAGAAUUAGCCCUUCUUCAAAUACUCUUGCCCCUCGAUACUCUGAUGAAGAUGAGAUUUGACUUAACUUACUUAUUCCAAGUGCCAAGUAUUUUAGGUGCUUGCUGUGUAUGAGGAUGUGUGUGUACAUAUUUAAUUCCACAUUAAUGAUACGUUAGAGAGAUCCUGAAUAUCUAUGCAAGGUUAAGAAAUUUGAAUAAUAUUUUUUACCUAUCUUUUUUGGAUGAGGUGUUAGGCCGUUAUAAAUAUUAUCAAAGGAGAUCCAACUUAUAUCCUAUGUAGAUCAGAUGACAUUGUAGUAUAAGCUCAUUUGGGACUAACAAUAGGCUAAUCAUGAUUUUUAUGAUUGAAUUUGGUUACAUGGGACUUUUAGUCUAUUGACGACAUCAUGAUUUAAAUAGAAAGAGUAUGUGAGAACUUUGGGUAAGGUCCUGGGUUAUUGCAAUAAGCUAGCACAUUCAAAGGCAUGCCAUGCCAUGACAUAAGUUAGGGGUAUUAUAUAAUAUAUAUAAUACCCCUAACUUUAGUAUUAUAUUAUAUUAUUAUCUUAUAUAUAAUAUAAUAGAAUUAUAUAUUAUUAUGAAUAUAAUAUAUAUGUAUAUAUAUGUGUGUGUGUGUAUGUAUAUAUGUGUGUGUGUAUAUAAAAACAAAAUAUAUCGUGGAAAAUAUGGAUCAAUCUUAGCAAUUUAUCCAAAAAAAUAGUAGUACAAAAGAACAUAAUAACAAAUUUUAGAGCCACUUUUUAAUUUAUAAUGAAUAUGGAUAAAUUAAUUUUCUAACUAAAUAUUAUCUAGGAAACAUCUAUCCAUAAAAAUAUAGAUUCCUAGAUAAAAUUUUUACCCUCUAAAAGGUUUGCAUGCAUGCAGACUCAUGAAAAGAAAAAUAGAAAGGGAGAAAUAUGUGCAUCGAAAGGAAUAGUUAUAAGUAAAUCUAUGCAUCUAUCUUCAUGUGCUAUGCAGGUCAUGGUAAUUUAACCUCCAACAAGCCCACUUGGCACCCAUGGAAAAGAUAUAAAGGUGAAUUUUUAUGUUAAAAUAUAUCUUUUAAAUAUUUAUUUUGAAUACCACUGAAGCGGUAGCCCGGGUGGGAACGGACCUACGCUUCCAUCCAAAUGGUAAUGGCUUCCUGAAUCGAAUAUUCGUCAGUGGGAAGGAGGCCCUUAUGGUCACGCUCAAAGGAGAUUGUUAUGCUGGUCACCGCCCCCCCCCCCCUCAUUUUUUUUACCAAAAAAAAAAUAUUUAUUUUGUACCAUCUAGUAAUGUAUUUGUAAUAUUUUAACCUUGUCGUUACCUUGAUGUACUGGGCCCUAAUAUUGUUAAUAGAACUUUUGGUUGUUACUUAUUUAAUUGACCCUUAGCAUGCUUCAAAUAAUAAAAUUAUGACUUUCAUUAAGUAUUUUAAUUAAAAAACAAUAGUAGAUGUAUGAUGCAACUAUUUGAUAAUAUCACUGUUUUAAAAAAAAUUGCAUUCCUAUAAACUAGUUUUGAAUUUCAUUUGGAAGGCAUGCCAUUUUCACCUAUGCUGCUUAAAAAAGUAGAGAUUUGCUAUGAAUAUGAGGCUGCCAGUAUCUAUCUUCCAACACGUCUUUAGAAGAGCAAACAUCAUCCAUGGCUUUUCCCAUGUUUUCCCCUUCUUCCCCCCCCCCCCCUUUAAUUUCCCUCUUCUUUUCCAAGUAUGCAGCUUUCACUUUCUCUUUCUCCUUCCCCCCUUUCCCGUGUAUGUAUAUAGUGUUUAUUUAUCUCACCACAAUCCACACCUGCUCUCUUCAAGCGUCAAAACCAAUUCGCCCAACAGGAGGUUGACUCGUCGGUCCUUGUUAAAAUCCGAUUAUGGAAAGCUAGAAGCUGGAAACAGUUUUUUUAGUUGAUUGACUAAAGCAAAAAUCGAAUUUUUUCAAUACCGUAGCAACUGAGCAUCCUUUGCCCAUCUUCUCAUCGUAAAUUUCACUAGUUUAAUUUUCUCCGUCACUCUUUAGAAUAGAAAUAGAAAUAAGUAAUUUUCAUUCCAAAUAUUUGAUUAGAGAAAAUAUUAUUCUUAUUCUAUAUUUCAAUAGAAUCCAAUAGAAAUAUAAUUAUUCUGAUUCUCAUUUUAAUUUAUUCUGAUUUUAAUUACAAACUAAAUGCACCUUGCAUUUCAUGCCUUAAGUCAUUACGGUAGGAGGAAGCCCACCCUCCUGACCUCUUCUCCUCCUGUUAUUCCAUACUCUGCCCCGCUCUCUCCCCUUUUUUUUUCUCCCACCAGGCCUUCGCCGUUUCAACCGACUGUUCCUCCUCCACGUCUUGCAUCCGUACUACAACUACUGGUGGAAAGAAUAAUAUGGAAAAUCCACCGCUUACAAUUGGAUUCUCUGGAGAUAAACCCGGUGAUAACUAUGCUCAAGAUGGAUGGCAGAAGGACACCAUCGCUCAAAAUUAGGAGAUCAAAACUCAAAUGUAGCAUGGCCUAGGUGGCGGGCUAGGGCAGGUGUCAAGGAGCUUGAGAUCCAAUUUAUUAUUACUAAAUAAAUAGAUUUCUUUUAUUUGUCAAGGGUUGUUUAUGCAUGCCGCAACCUGGUCCGUUCCAAUGUCUCUUUGCUGUGCUUUCUGUCCUGUCUCUGUUGCUCUGUCAGAGAGUUUAUGGUAUAUACACGCGAAGGUCAGUAAUAAUCAGUUUGUGUUUUUUUUUUUUUUGGGCUAAAAUAUUUGUGUUAUGUUUGUCUCCUUUGUUUGUACAUCUAAUUUCCACCAAAUAAGGGAAACAAGUUGGAGAGCGCUUUGUUAAAAAGGCUCUUGGAUUGUCCUUGCAGACAGGUUGUUGGGAUAUGCACAGUUCAUUAGGAUGUGGUAAAUUUGUAUUGCUUUCUUCAUUGCUGAGCUCUCUCUGAUUCCAUGUUUAAAAUGAUAUGCUGGUUUCAUUCACUGGUGAUGGUUAAAUUCUUACACUAUUACCGCUUUUCUUGACUAAAUGGUUAUCAGUAUAAUUCUUCAUAAAUAAAGCAAAUAACAGGUAUUCACUUAUUCUUGAAAUAUACAUGGCCCAAAAAAAAAAACUAUUCUUGAAGUAUUCAUAGAUUCUAAUAUAUUGUACAUCCCCAUUAACAUAACAAGUAUUUAUGGGUUACAAAAUUAGUGGUGGCAUUUCUUAGCCAAGUAUUUAAUAUUACUCUUUUCUAUUUUUUUUUGCACCGAAUUUUUAUGUAGAAGAUAGUACUUCUCAUUUAUAAAUAAAAAAUACAAUAUCAAUGAUUUUUGUAAUCCAUCGUUCCUAGCUUUCCUUCUUUCUUCCAACUAUUAAGCUUCCUGUUAUAUAUUUUUCCUCCUUUUUUAUCUUUUCUAUUUCUCUUUUUAAAAUGUGUGUGUUUCCUUUUAUCAUGUUCUGGAGCUCUUAUUAGCACCUGACAUCCAUAAUUCAUGAAUGAACUACAUUUGGCCAUUAAAAUCAUUUAAAAAUAAUAACAAUAAAGAAUCUUACAUGUAGGUUUUAGAAGGCAUUCCACUAUUUUUCUUUCUUCUUUUUCUUUUUAUAGAAAGGCCUUUAGACAAUAAUCUAUGCAAUGAGAAUUACCCAUUCUUCAAAUAUUCUUGACCCUUGAUACUCUGAUGAAGAUGAGAUUUGACUUAAGUUACUGGUUCCAAAUGCCAAGUAUUUUUGAUACUUGCUGUGAAUGAGGAUCUGCGUGCGUAUAUGUUUAGUUCAACAUCAGUUAUACGUUGGGGAGAUCCUGGACAUUUAUACAAGAUUAAGAAGUUCAAAAUUUUUGGAUGAGGGACUAGACCAUUAUAAAUAUUAUCAAAGGAAAUUCAACUUAUGUCCCAUACAGAUCGGAGGAUAUUAUAGCAUAAGUUUAUUUGAGACUAACAACAGGCUAAUCAUGAUUUUUAUGAUUGAAUUUGAUUGCAUGGGACUUUUAGUCUAUUGACGACAUCGUGAUUUAAAUGGAAAGAGUAUAUGAGGACUUUGGGCAAGGUUCUGGGUUACUGCAAUAAUAUAGCACAUUCACAUGCAUGUCAUGACAUUAGUUUACUCGAUCAAGUUCACGUAACCAUCAAGAAUAUGCUUGCUCAUGGAAAAUCCAAAAUGAGCCAGUUACAAAACCAUAGCCAAACCCAGACGCAUGAUACACCCAAGAGUUACAUUACAGUUAUUUCGCAGUAACAAUCCAAAAUCCAUCCGUUAUUUUGACUUUGGAGUAGGCACAUAUAAUUUGGGUCAGGAUUGUUGGAAAAAAAUAUAAGAUUGGAUACUUGUAUUUAGCUAUUAAUAAAAUAUACAACUAAAAGCCUAAAUAUAGAGAUUUACAAGGAAGAAAUAAUGUUACCAUGAAGUCGUACUAGGCACUAUCCUUAAAGGUUGAUUUGUGCCCUCUCCGAAACUAUGCUUGGUGCAAAAUGGGUUUCUCGGCGCGACAACCCUCCAUGAUUAAAUCAUGGGUGUUUGGUGUAAGUGUGCACUCACACUACCCAAACCAAUAAUAGAUAGCUCUCAAGUACUUCUCUAUAUAAUGCUAAAGAGAAUAUAGAAGAAGAGAGAUUUUUUAUUUCUUCUAACUGCUGUGUUUAACCUGGAGAGUGAGAGAGGUUUAUAUACAGAAGGAUAUAACAGCUAGUUUAGAAACAUAUGCAAAAAAAGCUCUUUCAACAAAUAAAGUAGGUGGCAGGUUCUCAAAAUAUUUUAUCCUUUACAAGAAAGAUCAUUAAUUCUCCGAUAUGACUUUUAUUUUUAUUUUUUAUUUUUUCGAAGGAAGGUGUAAAUGAAUUACCAACUACCAUCACACUAGAGUUAAAGUUUGAAACACCCAAUGCACAAGUCACGACAGUCCCCCAUAUGUUUCAAACUUUAACAGAAAGGAAUAAACAAAACACUAUGCGUUAGUAUGGUACCUGCAGGUUUGAACUAUACUUUAGACUUUGUAAGGCAGAGUCCACUAGAGAUAAGAUAGAGUAAUAACUCUUUAACCAAUGUCCCUUUAGGGUGGAUAGCUCUACUUACUAGUCAUAUAAUGUUUUUGAAUAAUGACUACUUGAGCGAGUUGGCACGUUACAGCCAUGCACCCAUCCUGGAUAUCAUGAGUGCUCUAGAGUCUAUGCCCAAAGACUUAUAAGAAGCGGCCUCACUUUCACACUCACUUAGGUGGUAUCCAUCAAGGGUAUGCUGCAGUUAAUACCACACCCUCAUAUUUUGGGACUAUGGAUCCAUUAAGAGCAAAAGCUCAACCUCAACCUCACUGCAGCUGUACUAACUACGCGAUAGGGAGGGACUCAUCACCAGUCAUCUCAUAUGAUAGAGGAUAACUCAAAGAUGGCAGUAUUUCUACUUAAGAAAUAUAUAACUUCAUUUGACCCAUUGAACCUCUUUCAUGGGAUCUCCAAUCAUAGAGGUUAGGUAUCCAUCAUAUGGUCUCAUCUAAUGUGCAUCAGUCCCAUCCUCCUCAAUGUGUCACUUACUAACAUCCUAGCAAGUGGCUUAGUCAGAGGAUCUGUGAAAUUCUUCUCUGACCUCACAAAAUCCAUGGAUAUAACCCCAUCACUGACAAGCUGUUUUACAAUAUUAUGUCUCAAUCUUAUGCAUCGACUUUUUUCAUGUUAAAUUUUAUUCUUUGCUCGAGCAAUAGCAGCUUGACAAUCACAAUGUAAACUCACGGAUGACAUUGGUACUUUCUAUAAAGGAAUACCAACUAAUAAAUUUUUUAGCCACUCGGCUUCCGACCCAGACUUCUCCAAGACUAUAAAUUUUGAUUCCAUAGUGGAUCUCGCUACACAAGUUUGCUUGGAUGAUUUCCAAGAGACUGCACCACCUACUAAAGUAAAAAUAUAUCUACUAGUAAAUUUAACUCAUCAGAAUUAGAAAUUCAAUUUGCAUCACUAUAUUCUUCUAACACCAUAGGAUAUCCACAAUAACACAAACCAUAAUCUAUACUAUCUUUUAAAUAUCUUAAUAAUCUAUCAAAGGCAAUCCAAUGAUCACUACUAGUAUUAUGAGUGUAUCUACUAAGUCUACUCACAGCAUAUGCAAUAUCAAGGUGUGUGCAAUUCAUUAAAAACAUCACACAUCCAAUUACUUGAGCAUACCUAGUUUGAUUAAUACUUUUACUAUUAUUUUUCACAAGAUGCAAACAAUAAUCAUAAGGUGUAGAUACAGAUGAGCAUUCAGAGUAAUCAAAUUUUUUUAACAUACUUUCCACAUAAUGUGAUUGUGUUAAUAUAAAGCAUCCAUCUUUUUUGAAUAAUUUAAUUACAAGAAUCAUAUCGACUUCACCCAUAUCUUUCAUGUCAAAAUGAGAUGCUAAAAAGCAUUUAGUACAUUCACAAUGUCAAUGUUGGUUCCAAAUAUAAGCAAGUCAUCAAUAUAUAAGCAAAUAAUCACACCAACAUUAUCUUCAAAUUUACUGUAAAUGUAUUUAUCAGCUUUAUUUAUCACAUAGCCAUUUGAUAUCAUCACAUUAUCAAAUUUUUCAUGCCAUUGCUUAGGAGAUUGUUUUAAACCAUAAAGAGAUUUGACAAGCUUGCAUACCUUGUUUUCCUUGUCCGAUACCACAUAUCCUUCAGGUUGUUCCAUAUAAAUCUCCUCCUCAAUAUUACCAUUAAGAAUUAUAGUUUUUACAUCUAUUUGAUGCACUAUAAGCUUAUAGAUUGGUAUAAUAGCAAAUAAAACUCUAAUGGAUGCAAUUCUAGUUAUUGGAGAGUAAGUAUCAAAAUAAUCAAUAUUUUAUUUUUGUUUGUAGCCCUUAGCUACCAACCUAGCCUUAUACUUAUCAAUACUACCAUCUAGUUUUAAUUUCUUUUUAAACACCCAUUUACAUCCAAUAGGUUUUGUCUUUAGAGGCAAAUCAACUAACUCCCAAGUGUGAUCAGAUAAAAUUGAUUCUAAUUCACUUUGAAUAGCUUCUUUCCAAAAAGGUGCACCAAUGGAAGUAAUGGCAUCAUUAUAAGUUAAAGGAUCAUUACUAACAAGGUGUGUAUAAAAAUCAUCACCAAAAUUAGUUUCCUUUCUUUCUCUUUUACUUCUCCCAAGUUCAUGCUCCCAAGUUCAUGCUCAUGCUCAUGCUUAUGUCCAUUAUGCACAUCAUGUAAAUUAUGCAACACCUCUUUGUUCUUAUUCUUCAUAGGAAAAACAUUUUCAAAAAAUGAUGCAUUACAAGAUUCAAUAAUAGUGUUAAGUUCAAUCACAUCACUCUUUACAACAAGAAAUCUAUAAAUAACACUAUUAUGUGCAUAACCAAUAAAUACACAAUCACAGGUUCUUGAACUAAGUUUUCUCUUCUUGGUUUCAAGAAACAUCACCUUAGCUAAGCACCCCCACAUUUCCAAGUGUUCUUAGCUAGGUAAUAUCCCAAACCAAAGUUCAUAUGGUGUCUUACCAGUUUUUUUGUGAGGUAUUCUAUUUUGUAAGUAACAAGUCGAAAAGACUGCUUCCCCCCACAUGUUGGUAGGCAAUUCAGAACUAACAAGCAAAGCAUUCAUCAUUUCUUUCAAGUUUUAUUUUUUCUUUUGGCUAUGUCAUUAGAUUCAGGUGAAUAUGGCAGAGUCACUUCAUGCACAAUACCGUGUUUUUCACAAAAAAUAUUAAAAGGAUUAGAUUCAUAUUCACCACCUCUAGCAGUUCUCAACCUCUUAAUUUUUCUAUUAAGUUGGUUUUCCACUUCAUUCUUAAAUUCUAUAAACAUGUCACCAGCUUCAUCUUUGGUUCCUAAAAGAUAAAGUUUAAUCUAUCUAGAAUAAUCAUCCACAAAAAUUAUAUAGAAUUUUUUUACCACCUCUAGUCAUUGUGUGCUUUAAAUCUCCCAAAUCACUAUGAAUUAAUCCUAAUAAUUUGGAUUCACUUGUUAUGGUUUUACAAGGUUUCUUAGUUAUUUUGGUUUCAACACAGACUUCACAUUUAUCCAGGUUAGUAUUUGCCAAGUUUGGUAUUAAUCUAAUUUCUUUCAUUUUCUUAAUAUAAGGCAUAUUCACAUGUCCAAACCUAUCAUGCCAAACAUCAAGAGAAUCAAUCAAGCACAAGAAGAAGAUGCACUUCCUUUAUCAUUUUCGACAUUUAAUAUGCAUAGACCAUCACUAAGAUAACCUUUUCCAAUAUACACAUCAUUUUUGGACAAAGUGACAAUAUUACUAUUAAAGGUUAUCUUCACAUUUGCAUUGUUGAGAAGAUGGACCAUUUGCACUGUUGAGAAGAUGGACUGACACAAGGCAGUGCUUGAUGGCAGGUACAUAUAGUACAUCAGAGAGCAAAAAGGACUUUUCAGAUGUCAAUUUUAGUGGUACCUUGCCUUUAUCCAAAACCGAGACCCUACUUGAAUCCCUAAGGUACACUACUUCUUUUCCUUCUUCCACUGGAGUGUAAGAGGAAAAGGCUUUACUCAUAGCACAAAUAUGCCUUGUUGCACCUGAAUCCACAAUCCAUCCUUUUUUGGAUACCACCGCUAUGAUCACAUCAUCAUCAUCAUUUUUAUCCACCACGUUGGCUCUUGCCUUUGGGUUGGGUCUUUGUUCUCUUCCUUUUCUUUAUCUACAUUUCACCACAAAGUGUCCUACUUUGCCACAAACAAAGCAAACACCUUUUUCCUUUUGGACAUUAGAAGAAGGAGGGUUAAACUUUUUAUUAGAUGAUGCAUGAUUAUUAUUAUUCUUGGAAAAACUUUUAGAGCCUUGAGAACCUUUGGAAACAUCAUGCACAAAAUUAGCUUUUGAAGAAAACUCCUUAGCUUGUUGAGCUUGUGCUAUGUUUCUAUUUUUAUCUUCAAUUUUAAUAUGCACUAUAGUCUCAUGAAGACUCAUAGCCUUUCUCUUUUGCAUGAAAUUUAAUUUAUAAUCUUUCUAAGAGUCAGGUAAUUUAUCAACCAAACUUUGAGAAACAACCUUUUAGGUAAAAUAUUAUUUUCUUUAGCAAGAUCAUCAACAAGUUUUGUAAAUUCAUUUAUUUGCAAAGAAAUGGGAUUGUCAUCUGUCAUUUGAAAAUGAUUAAAAUUAUGCACUAAAAAUCUUUUACUACCUUCUUCCUUCAAGACAUAUUUUUGCACCAAUGCAUCCCAAAUUUCUUUAGCAUGAGAAUAAUGACAAUAAAUAUCAUAUAAAUCAUUUGAGAGAGCUCUUAUGUAGUAUGUCUGUACAACUUAUCGACUAAUUCCCAAUCUUUCAAAACUUGAAUAUAAUUUUCGGUGUCAUUAUCGGAUUUUGGGUUUGUAGGAACAAAAUCAAUAUUACUAAAAUCCAAAACUUCUUUUACCCGAUUUUGCCACCUCUUAAAAUUUUUUUCCAUCAAAAGGUUCAAUCUUUGAAGCAUCGGGAAUAACCUUAGUAGCAGCUAAAAUACUUGUAUCCAUUUCAACCUUUAAGAAUGUUGGAAAAAAAUAUAGAAUUGGAUACUUAUAUUUAGCUAUUAACAAAAUAUACAACUAAGAGCCUAAAUACAGAGCUUUGCAAGGAAGGAACAAUGUUAUCAUGAAGUCGUGCUAGGCACUAUCCUUAAAGGUUGAUUCGCACCUUUUCCGAAACUAUGCUUGGUGCAAAAUGGGUUUCUCAGCAUGGCAACCCUUCAAGAUUAAAUCAUAGGUGUUUGGUGUAGGUGUGCACUCACAUUAUCCAAAUCAAUAACGGAUUGCCUUUGUACUUUCCUUACAAAAUAUUAUUAUAGCCCUCCAGUACUUCUCUAUAUAACGCUAGAGAGAAUGUAGGAAAAGAGAGAUUUUUUAUUUCUUCAAACCGGUGUGUUUAACCUAAAGGGUGAGAGGGAUUUAUAUGCAGAAGGAUGUGGCAGCUGGUUUGGAAACAUAUGCAAUCGAAGGCUUUUUCAGUAACUAAAGUAAGUGGCAAGUGGUCAAAAAUAUUAUAAAUUUUAAAAUAUUUUAUUUUUUAUAAAAAAAUUAUUAAUUUUCUAAUAUAAUUUUUAUUUUUAUUUUUUAAAAAAUAUAAAUAAAUUAUUAAUAAUCAAUUAAAAUUUGAAACAUCCAAUGCACAAGUCACAACAAGGAUAUAUAUUAGCAAGUCCCAAACUGUACCCCGGAGCCAACCUGUUGACACCCCAAAAAUCCAAUCCAUGUCCGAUUCCAGAGAACCGAGCGCGAAUCCCCGAUAACGUGGCGACAGAGCAGCCUUUGCCAUCCCUGUUACAAAGUCCAGUGCUCGGGUCCCCGUUCCCCUCGCCCCAAUCUCCACACUCCCCCAUCUCCCUCGCUCGCUAGCAGGGCGAGAGUGUGUGUGGGUGCGUGCUUCCAAUAGUCUUAAGAAAUGUCGAAGAUCCUUCUUCUGAAACCGCCCCACGGCCGACUUCACGCCGUUAACCACAGCACCAGUCGCAGCGCUCUCUCCACCCUCCUCUCCUCCUCCAAACCCCCUCUCUCCCCACUUCUCCAUAUCUCCCCUUCCCUCCCCUCCUUCUCCUCUCCCCCUCCUCCCCUUCGCCGCUCCUCCCUCUCCUUCCCCCGCCGUAUCUUCCCUGUUCGAGCCCUCGAGUCCUCCUCCACUGCAAGAACCGACAACGAAGACAAGGAGAAGUCCAAGGCCGGGGGAGAAGACGAUGGAGCCCCGCCGUCUUCCUCUUCGACGACCGCCGAGUCCGGGACUGAUGAUGGGGUUUUGGUGGAGAAGGCGGGCUUAGAUGGAGGCCUUCCCACUGGGGAGUUCGAGAUGGAGGAGUUCGCGUGGUGGAAGAGCUUCGUCGUGAAGCUCCGGAUGCUGUUCGCUUUCCCCUGGGAGCGCGUCAAGAAGGGCAGCGUGCUCACCAUGAAACUCCGCGGCCAGGUUGGAUUGUAUUGGAUUGGAUGUUCUUCUUUUACAAACUCACCUCUCUGUUAAUUUAACCCCUUCUACUAUGUUUUCUUAUGUUGGGUGGAUGUCUGGUCUGGAUACUACCUUUCAAAAUUUUUUCAGUAUCAAGCGAUGAGCAGGAAGAAAGAAGAAAUAAAAUAAAAAAAAAAAAUCAAAAUACGUGGAUCAGCCAUAGAAGGGUUCGUCUCCACGGGACAUGCAAACUUCACUAUGAAAAAAAAAAUUUUACAAGAGAAAAUCUCACUCUCAACUCUUGUACACCUAAUUUUCUCUCACUAGAAAUUUCUCUCACAAAAGUUCUCUCUCUUAGAAGACCCCCUAAAUUCCUGAAGUGUCUGGCGACCGCUGUCCAGAAGCCUCUUGCUCCUUGUCUCUCAAAGCUUCUGCCUCUUUUUUUUUCUCGGGUUCCGUACGGCUCGUACGGCGUGAAAAAACCGAACCACUGCUUCUAUUCUCUGUGUACAGAGUAUUUUAUAGACCUUAAUCACGACUUAGACCAUGAUUAGGACUCCUUAAUCAACCCAAAUAAUUUCUGGACCGUCGGAUCAAGAUCGGAAGCCAUCCACGCCGUUUGAUCGUGCUCUGAUCCACGAAAUAGUGUCGUGGACCACGUGAAAUGCGUGGGAAACGCCCACGCGGUCCACAGGCCCNNNNNNNNNNNNNNNNNNNNCCGACGGUCCUCCGCCGCCUCGAGUCUCGUGCCGACUUCAAAAGUUCGUAUCUCCUUCAUCCGAGCUCCGUUUCAGGUGAUCUUCAUUUCGUUGGACUCCAUUUUUCGCCGCGAACCUCGCUGUGGGCUCAAUCUCGAGGCGUCAAAUCCUAAUAUCUUAAGAUAUGGUUAAAUUACAGUUGGUCGAUUAUUGGGGGUUGUUGUGUAUGGGAACAAUUAACAUGUUACGGAGGAAUUCAAGAGCGGAUAUGAGUCUGACAUUGCUAUUCAAUUAUUUGAUAUUAUUUUUUGUUGUCAUUCUAUAUAGAACUUCAUCUAGAAUUUUCUUCUGUCAUAUUCAUAUGAAGAAUGCAAAUUAAUGUUCUUUGCAAUCUGUCAUGGGUUCGUAUUCUUCUUUCUUCUGUCUAGAAUUUUCCUUUUGUUGAAUUUUUCUCCCUUUGUUCUUUUCUUUUUUUGAGUUAUACGUUUGCUUCUAUAAUGUUUGAUAACUUUAAAUGAAAAAAAUAAUGUUUCAUAACCCUCACUAGUAUCUAACAUCCAUAAUUCAUAGAUAAGCUGCAUUGGGGCCAUUAAAACCUUGAGGAGAUAGUACUGUGAUUAAAAAAAAAAAGCAUGAAAUGUUCAAAUUUGUUAUAAUAUUGAAUUUGUUCAUGUUGAUGCAGAUAUCUGAUCAGUUAAAAAGCCGCUUUGCUUCUGGGCUAUCCUUACCUCAAAUUUGCGAAAAUUUCAUUAAGGCAGCAUAUGAUUCUCGUAUAUCUGGUAUAUAUCUUCAAAUAGAACCUCUUAGCUGUGGAUGGGGCAAACUUGAUGAAAUACGAAGGCAUAUACUGGAUUUCAAGAAGUCAGGUAAAUGUGUAACAAUUUACAUUUGUUUACUUGCUACAUUCCACCUUUAUUGAUUAUAGAAUGGACAUUGUUAUUACUCAAUUUAUUGAUAAAAUCAAUUGCUGAUACUUUACAGGUACAUACUGGUGUACGUAUGUUAGUUUUUAUUCUUACAUUGCCAUACAUUGAUGAAAUAACUUAUGUAUAUCUAGCUGUCAUGUUUUUCUUUUUUCUCCACUUUUUUUUAGAUGCGACUUUUAUUGUUAGAACAGAAAUAAUUUGCAAGAUCAUUUCCCAUGGUCUGCUUAUUUGUGCAGAGUGAAGUCAGAGAUACAGUCGGUACAAACUUCGGUAGGUGCUAUUGCUUGUGGACUAGGUGAUGGAGGAAAAAAAAAUAUUUUGUUAUAUUUUCAGAUAUUUUUCUCAGGCAUUUGUAGAAUUACUUUAGCAUCUUGUUUUGAUUAAGAUUGGUGUAUAAGAGUCAUAGUUUAGUGAUAUAUUUGUUUGGAUAAGUUAGGAAAUUAUUAGGAUUUCAAUUUUAAUUGUUCUUUGGAAAGUUUGCAUAUAGCAGAAUUUUAUAUUGACUAAGAGUCUUUUAUGGAAUCAAUCUAUGUGAAAAGAGUCACUGGGUCAUAAUAGAUAAGUCGAAGAGUCCUUCCUUAGGUAGCAAGAAAGUCUUCACUACUUUAGAGCCUAUAAAUGUGGGCCGAUAUAAAUUGAUGAAUUUAUGGUGAUUAUUGAGUUAUUUUUGUGUGGAUGUUUGUUGGCCACGUUUGGCCUUCUCUCCCCACCUUCUUCUGUACUAUUAUUCUCUUGUUGAUCUUCUUUUGUGCUGUGAAUAGAUCAGAUCACUCUCUAUGUAUCCAUUGUUUGAUCAAAUCUGGUUGGAGGUUUUAUAUUGGAUUAUUCAAUUAAGACUUAAGAAACCUUAGGUUUUGAUUCAGCUAAUCCUUCUAUGUGUAACAAACUUUGAAGAAGACUCUUCUUGAACAUCUUGUGCCCCUGAUUUCAAAUUCUGUUGGUAGCUGUCCCAUUUUCAAGUUCUGGACAGAAGGACAACCAGUGAUAGAAGUGCUUGCAGUCCUAAUUCAACACUAUUUUGGGGCCCGACACCUAUUGCAGAUAAUCCCUAAAGUUGUCUUGCAUCACUAAAAGAGUAUAUUUGCUGCUUGGAAGUACAGGAGCUUGAUGAAACUUAUGAGAGAAUGUACAAUGAAAGAUAGGUAGAACAAUGCGAAUGUAGCUGGCCUCUAGAGUUAGGUAGAUGGGUAGGGAAAAUCUGUAACGUUGACCCCAAAAUUUUAACAAUCUAGUGAUGGUGGUAAGCAAGGUUCGCCGAACUGAUGCUGGAGGGUGUAUUGGCCACCGAAUAGUUCGACACAGUAUGGGUCUGUUUAGUACUGUUCCAAGGUGUACGGAAACAGGGAGAGCCGGAGAGGAGGGAGGAGAGAGAGAAAAGAGAGAGAAUUUGAGAUGAAGGGAGGGAGGGGGGUGGAGAGGUUGAGAGAGAGGGCUCAAAAGUUCUCAUCAUUGUCGGGAGGACCCUUUAAUCCCUAGACCUGGGGUUGGGGUCGAGAGAGAGGGAGGGGAGGGAAAGCAUUGAGGAGGGGCAUGCUCAGAGUGGUCAUGAACCCUGAGGGAGGUUGCUAUGAUCACUACAGAUGGGGGGAUGGAGGUCUCGAAAGAUCACGAGUUGAAGGGGGCGACGGGGGUGCUUUUUACCAAGGGUUUUAAUCCAACUGAGCCAGGAGGAGGGUUAGAGCUGAUUUAAUCAAAUGAUAAACCAAGAUUAGAGCCAGUUUGGCCUAUUUACUGAGUCCUAGUUUCCUAUUUGUUUGGUUCACUAUGCCUUAAACCAAAUGAUUCGGGUGGUACGGUGAACCAUGUUGGUGAGUAUCACUGUGUUAACUAGUUGCUUCUUGAAGGCUGCUAGUCCCUAGGUCCCAACGAAGAGUCAACAAUAGUAAGGAAUUGUUGGAAAAUUCUCUUCAAGUGUUAAGAGAGAGAAUCUAUGGUAUGCAUUCUGUGAAGCCAGCCUACCUUGCCUUUGUUGCUGACAUAAUUGUUCAAGGCUUGCGCACAUCAACGGUUGAAAGAGUCACUGUGAUGUUUAACAAAUUAGGAUGAUUUAUAUCAUCAAUGCAAGCACAGGAUAAUCCUUAUUGGCUUUCAACUGAUCAAGUUGUUUAAAAUUAAAAGACUGGUUCAUAAUUAAAGCUAUAUUUCAUGUAUUCUUUGGUGAGAAAUUCAGAAAGAAUGUGGUGCUUCAUUAGUUAAUGCCAUGGUUAUUAGUUAGAACAACCUAACAACCUUACAUAAUGGAAGCAUUGGUCUUCAUGGAAAAUAGGAUUGACUUAAAAGACAUGAGCCAUAGACGUACAGCAUUACACCUAGUUUGGCAAUGUUUUGUUACAUGGUUGCAUUUUUUUUGUUUUCUCUUUUUUUCCUCCCAAUGGCAAAUUGUUAUUUUUCUUUAAGUUUGGGUUCAUAGGAUAUGACUAUAGUUUUUUGCUGGCCCCCAACCUACUACAACCUCCUUUUUUUGUGCUUGGAAUUGGUUAUGUACAAGUAUUAUGCAUUAAGCAUAACAGAUGUGGAGUUAACACAACAUAGGCAGGGUUAAAAGUGAAUCCAAUGCGAGGAUUUGAGCCUGGGUCUCUUGAGUGAGAGCUAAGCAAGGUUUGUAUCCUAAUUGGAUGGCUGAACCGUACCAACAGCCUACCAGUGCAGUUCGGAUGUUUGAUUUGGAACACUGGCGAAAAUGGGGCGAGGGAGAAGGAAAGAGAGGAAGAGGGGGGGCGGAGGGAAUGAGAGGAAAAGGCCGUUGGUGGCCCGCUGCGGCAUCAGAGGGUCAUCGAGGCCUCUGGGGCUUCGCCCUCCUCUGAGAGAGGAGAUUGGAGAUUAGAGGGAGCUAGAGAGAGGCGAGAGGGACAGAAAUGAAGAUAAGGGAAGGUGGUAGGGAGGUCGUCGGAGGGCUGUCAGAUGGCUGUUGAGGCCGUUAGAUGGUUGAAAUCAAUCCCAUGGUGUCCGUGGGGUCGAAACAAGGAUGACCUACCCUUAUUCAUCACGUAAGGUUUUUUUUAUGUGAUGCAUAGUCAAGGUGGCAACCCCAUUGUGUAUCGCAUAAAAAAGAUUUACACGAUGAACAGGGGUGGGUUGCCCUUGUUUCGACCCUACAGACGUUGUGGGCUUGAUUUAGGCUGUCCAGCGGCCUCUUUACUGCCUUCUUCUCCCUCCAUUUCUCUCUCUCCCUCUCAAAUCUCUAUUCUCCUAUUUCAGAGGAGGGUGGCACCUCGGAGGCCUCGAUGGCCCUCCGGUGGCCACCACCGGUGUUUGCACUGGCCACCCUUUCCUUCUCUCUCUCUCACUUCCUCCCCCCUCUCUCUCUUCCUUUUCAUUGCUCCUCCCCCACUUUUGUUCCAUGUUAGUUUGGGCCUAGUAUGGUUCGGUGCUGACCUAUAUCGUCUGCCAAUUGAUACAGUGUUCGGUUUCGAGUCGGCAAACCUUGGAGUCAAGCAUCCCUAGACAAAUGGAUCUAUCACCAGCACGAAGGAGUAAUUUGAUACAUGUAGAAGGAAUAAGGAGCAUAGAGGUAUCUAAAAAUCAAAUGGGAUGGAGUAGUAAGAAAGGACUUUGUAUCUCAACAUCUUUUAAAAGUAUAGCCGUAAACUGAGUUAAAUGGAGGAAAAAGGAUCCAUGUAGCAACCCAACUAGUUUGAGAUUAAGGCUUUAGUUGAGUUGAAUUGAGUUUAAUGGCAUAUUGCUUUUUAUAUUUCUUGUAGUUUUUUACAAAGUCAUAGCUUAUGCUGGUGAAACUAAUUGUGCUUAUAGAAAUAUGUGAUUGUGAUUUUUUAUUAUUCUCAACUUCUUACUUUGUCCCUUGUUUUUUUUUUUUUAAUAAUAAUUUUGAUCUGUUCUGUUUUAUAAACUUUGUAGGAAAGUUUAUUGUAAGCUACGUUCCUAUAUGUGGAGAGAAAGAGUAUUAUCUUGCAUGUGCUUGUGGAGAGCUGUAUGUCCCACCCAGUGCUUAUGUUGCAUUGUGUGGUUUGGUAGUUCAAUCAUCAUUCCUUGGGGGUAAGUUUAUUUGUCCUCCAAAAAUAUGUUAAAUGAUAUGAACACUAAUUAUGCUUGUAGAUUUCUUAUCUUUAUUCACUGCUUUAUUUCUUUCUUUUUUGGGUAAAUGCAUUGAGAAUGCUGUUAUGGUUUUUUCUUGUCAUGUUCAUGCCUUUCUAUGUUUGUAACCACAGAAGAUAAUUUUCUUCUCUGAACAAUAAGAAGACAUUGGCAAAUUAUGUAUUUACAAUAUGUACUAUAUGUCAUAUUGAAUUAAACAUAGAUGCAUUUCCAUUAGCAAAUAAUAUGCAAGAUACACAUAAAACCAAGCGAAAAAGGAUUUUAGUUUAAAAAAAAACUGAAUGUGGUUUUUUGAUAGGGAAUUAACCCAUCAGUGACAAGAAAGCUGUUAUAAGAUUUGCCAUACCGUGCCGAACCGGCCGACACCCCAUCUCGUACCGGACCGGCGGAGAAUCGGCACAAUUCGACCGGUAAAAUCGGUACACCGGCGGUACCGAAGAAAAAAGAACGAAAAGUAAGAAAGAGAGAGAGGGGAGGGGAGGGAGGGAGGUGGGAGCCGUCGGAGGCCGGCUGCAGCCGUCGGAGGGCUUCAGAGCCCCGUAUCGUCCGAUAGGACUUUCAAGAGAGCAAAAAAGAGAAAGAGAGCGCUCGGAGGGGGGACGGAGAACCUACCGGACGGACGGUGCCUCCGUUGCGAGGCUCCUGGUGGCCGGCGAGUCGACGCCGAUGGCCUGAGGGCAGUCGAGCGGGCGGAGCCUCUCCGCUGCUCCGCCCCUUUCUUUUUCGAAACAGGCGACAUCUGUUUCAAUUUUUUCUUUUUUUUUUGUUUUAAACUUAUGAAGUCGGCAAAUGGGUUGCCGACUUAAGAAUUUUUUUUAAAAGAAACAAAAAUCGUGAAGCCGGCAAAUCGUUUGCCAACUUCACUUAAAACCAUGUUUUUUAAAAAAAAUUGCAAAACAGGGGCAAUGCCCCUGUUUCACGCCUGCGGCGCCGCGUGCGUGGACGGCGCUGUCCGACGGCCACGGCGGCUCCGCCGGCUCCUUCCCCUCCCUCUUUUUUUUCUUCCUCUUUCUCUCUCUUUAUUUCUCUCUAUUUCUCUCUUUUUUUCUUCCGGUUUGGGUCAUCGGUUCGGUACGGUAUGAAACCAUACCGAACCGUCGGCCGGCCGGCGGUAUCGGUUCAGCAUACCUUGUGUUAUACUGAAAGCAAAUAGAUGAUUACCUCUUCCUCAAUAUAAAUCAACUGCCAAUGGCUCCUAUUGUAUGUGCUUUUGUCACUGCUGCUCAAAAUUCAGUGCUGGUUCUCUUCUCCACUUCAUAUGGUGGUUUCAGCAAUCUUUUUGAGGCAUCUCAAGGAUUCCUUCUCUAAGUAAUGCAAAGAAGAGUGCAACUUGUCCACUUGAUAAGAAAAAUGGCAAAGAGAAAUGCAUCUUUUCUACUUUGGUAGUAGGUUCUUUAUGUUGUUCCUGUACCUCACAACUUUGCCAAGGGAUCUUAGACAUCCUUUCACUACUAUGAUAUAUUAUUGCUAUGUUGCUCUGCUUUUCUUGCCUUGAUUGGCUUUCAAUUCCAUUGUAGGAAAUUAUUUUCUUGCUAUUUGUGUUUAUCUUAGUAGAUUUUGGUCCUGUAAUAUCUUCUUUCUUUUUGCUUCACAAUGGCUGAGAUAGGUGGGGAAGGAAAACAUGCGAAACAUUUUGUUAAUAUGUCAUAUAAGUUUAAUUGGGCUUCUACGACCAUUUGAGAAGAGUUCCCAAGUACUUGGCAUUUUGUAGCUAUUGAAAAUCUACCAAGCGGACCUACAGGUAGAGGCAGGUAGUAUAUUCUUACAUGUGCAUGUUGGUUUAGCUUUCCUCCUUUUGGAAAAUUUUCAUCUUUUGUUUCUCAUAGUUCUUCCCUUACAUGCUCCUCUAAAUAAAACUUGCAUUUUUCAACAAAAUAGGUGGUAAAAAAUUAUAAUCCUUAGUUUCUGUUUUGAAGGCAUUAUGGCAAGAGUUAAAAAUAGAAAAUUGGAUAGGUUCUCUUGGCUUUAACAGAGAUUCGUCUCACUUCACAUGCUUAUUGUAGCCACUCUUUCCAGCUCUUCCACACUAAUUUCUAGCUAGGAAUGUGACUAUGAGCAUAAUAAAGGAAUUUGACUUCACUUUAUUUUGAUCUUCCUCUUCCUGUUGGUAUCUCCUCACAGUAUCAGUGCUCUGACAUGGCUUGGCAUGAUUUAUAUAAGGCCCCUUUCUCUGUCAAAUCCCACCUAUUAUCACCUAAAGCCCAUGAAAUGUUACUUUGAGUCACAUUCCAGACAAUUCAAUGGAGAUAAUGGAAACUUAUUAUUUAUUUAUUUUUCUCGUGGAUUAUGGGCGGAUGAGGAAAUUCUGACAUUCUCAGAAAUAAAUGGCUUGGUGUUUUAUCCAGGAGGAGUUUGUGAACUGAAGCCAUAUGAAACUUAUGCAGUGAUUAUUAAAAAUAAACUUCUUCAACCGGUUUGCCUGUUUGGAGAGCAGAUUUUCAGUUUUGUUCCUUGUUUAAUUGUGUUGUUUUCUUUUUUCUUCAUUUUAUACAACUUUAGGGCCUUGGAAUUAUGGCUGUUUGGCACCUUCUCUAGGUUGUACUACCUCGAAUGAUUGCAAUUCAGCAACUAUUAACCGUGGAUGCCUUUGCUUGAAAACACAGGUUAACAUCCAAAAAAAGAGAAAAUAUAGAAAAGGAUACCAAAUUUUUUGGUAUAAUGCGUACUAGUUUUAUGUGCACUAAAGAAAGGUUAAAUUAUUAACAUAAUAAAUAGUUAGAAAAAUGUGAAAAAAAUUCAGUAAGUGAAUGUCAAAUGGAAAAAGCAUGCAAGCCAUCAUGGUUGGAUAUACGUUAAUUUGUAGAUGACCAUGGUCCAUCUCCAUUUAAAAACUGAACUGGUUACUCUGUCCAGGUUAUGAGGUUGAUGUGUAGAUAAUAAUAAAAGUAAUCUUAAUGUUAAAUUUGCAUGUAGUUGAAUGUGAUUAUAACUGCAGAUUAAACAUGAAUUCAGUUUUCUAAUUUGACUGGAAUGAGCACUUGUUUUCGCAGGGGUUCUAGAGAAAGUAGGAAUUGAACCACAAAUACAGCGCAUUGGUAAAUAUAAAAGCGCCGGAGAUCAACUCUCACGUAAAAGCAUGUCACAAGAAGUUUGUGAAAUGCUGACUUCAUUGCUUGAUAGUAUUUAUGGAAAUUGGCUGGAUACAAUUUCUUCAACUCAAGGUUAAUUUAUUUAUCUUAUCCAAUUACUGUUGCUCAGUUUUGAAAGCAAGGUUCCUAGGAUGGUUAAUUUUUCUGUUACAGGAAAGACAAGAGAAGAAAUUGAAAAUUUUAUCAACACAGGAGUUUACCAAGUAGAAAGACUUAAAGAAGAAGGCUGGAUAACAAAUAUCAUGUAUGAUGAUGAGGUGCAAAUUUCUGCCUGAGCCAUUAGCCAAGAUGUGAAGCACAUGGAAACACAAAUAUAAAUGAAAACUUUGAUGCUGAAUCUUAUCAUAUGUCAAUAAUUCUUAAUAUUCUCUCCUUGAUAUAUUUUUCUUUUCAAAUGAGUAUUGUUUCUGUAUUAUUAUUAUUAUUAUUAUUAUUAUUAUUAUUAUUAUUAUUAUUAUUAUUAUUAUUAUUGUUUUUAACAUUCCUGUGCCUUGACAUUUCUUGGUUAAAUUAGUUAGCGUCCCGCUCGUCUCCCCAUUUUGCUAAUGCAAAAUACAUGGAAGCAAACACCAUUAGAAAACAAUAAAAAAAAAAAGAAACAUUAUUUCAGAGGUCUAACAUUAUUUCAGAGGUCUAUACACUCUUUGGGGUACACGAUUGAGCAUAUUGUUUGUAAGAUUAUUCAGAUAUAUCUAUAUUGUGCAUUAAGCUUCUAGCAGCUUCACCAUUUAAUGGUGUGCUGGCAGCACUUAAAUCCUUGAACAAUAUACCGAGUCUUGAUUUUGGCAAUGAAGAAUUGAAAGAUCUUGGACAAUUCAGGAUUACUCUUCUCAUUAGGUAUUGUCAAAUCUGUCCAGAAUUGAUUAGUUGAAUGUUGUUAUCCUCCUAAAUUGGGCAACUUCUGAAAGCGGGAUAUGAGAUCAACAUACUAUUUUGUGUCUUAGGGUUUCUUUGUUGGAAAAGUGGUUGUCAGCUGUCUUUCUAACCAAUCUUCCCCAUGCAACUUCAAUAACAAAAGAUUGGCUUAACACAAGAGCACUUGUUUAUGUCAUUGAAUGAUGUCCAGAAUGGCGGUCCCAUUAAUGUGGUGACUUUUAAGUUGAUGUGACAAGUUCUCCUGUUCAAAUUUUGUAGCCCUCCAAUCUGGUGUCCUCUAGAAAAUCAGUCUUUAGAUCUUUGAAGAGCAAUGAUUUGGAAAACAACAACAAAAUGUUAAUGCAAUUGCCAAUUUCCUCGUAAACAGGUGACUCAUGGGGCAGUUAGAAUUUUAUAUAUGUAGGGUAGAACAAGAGUGACCAGAAUCAAUUUCAGACACUUGAACAUGUAGGAUUCACCUGUUUCACAUAUGCAAUGGGUUAAUUUGAUUCACCUAAGAAUGAAAUUGUGAUUUCUGUUAUUGUGAUUGGUGCUCUAUUCAAUAACGUAAGAAAUUGAUUUAUGAGAUAACAAACAGUGACUCCUUAGCAUAGAUAGGGAGAAGUCAUGAUUACAUGGAGAACAUUGAGUCACUGGAUAUAGAUUAUAUGCUUAACAAUAUUAGAAGUUUGUCUUCUUUCUAAUUUUUGACGAUGUAAAUGUUUUUGAUGAAUUUUUAAUCACUUUAAGAUGUUCUAGGUGGCCUAUGAUUGGUCUGGUUGCACAUAUUGUGCUACCAACUGUGGGACAUGAUGAUAUAGUAUUGUAGUUUAGGCCCAAACAACACAGAACAACCCAAUCGACAGAUAGUGUAAGAAGGGAUGAAGCUAAUGAAAUAUGAUUAGAAAUCCACAUUCUUUUACAGCAGCCACCUUGAUUUCAACUCUUUAUGAAACAUUGUCAUACAACUCCUUUUACUUUGGCUGAUGAUAUCCUCUAACCAACUGUGAUAUUACAACUAUUUGUAUUGUUUUUGCUGCAUGGCAAUUGAAUUGGACAACUGAAGAAAUAGACAUAGCUCUAAUGAUAGGAGGAUGAACUGUUAAAAGCUUCUCAUUCCUUUUUGUAGUCGGGUCAGCAUUUUCACAAUAAGAAACUGCCUUUACAUUUUUUUUUCUUGAUCUUAUAAUGCAGGUUAUGUCAAUGUUGAAGGAGAGACUGGGACAAAAGGAUAAGAAAAAUCUUCUCAUUGUUGACUACAGGUAAUCAACAUCUUCAGGAGAUCAUAGAAAGGUAUUGUUGCAGGGAAUUGCAUUUACUGUGAAUUUAAUGUCAUCAUUGUGGUCGUGCUUGUUUUUUAAGAAAAAAAUGAGGUCACCGUGAUUAUUUCUACAGCUGCUUUUUUUUUUCUUGAACAAAUAGCCAUAAUUGUGGUGGUGCUUGUUAAAAAAGAAAAAUUGAGGUAACAGUGAUUAUUUCUACAGCUGCUUUUUCCCUUUUUUUAAAUAAAUAGCCGUAAUUUUCAGGGUUUAGUUGGUUUAUUCACUGGCAACCACUAUUAUGUUCUCCCUGCAUGUUGAAAAUUCCUGUCACUUAUUUUUCCUUGGUUUAGUAAUGUCAUGAAAUCUGAGUCCAAAAAAUAUUGGAGAUACUUUGAAAAGCUAAUUUUAAUGCGUUAUCUAUGUCUUCUUCAGCAUGCUAAGGAUGUGAACUUCUAUGUUCUUUUAUGUUUCCUAAUUAAGUUAGCGGUCCUAACUUCAUCCCAAGUAAAGCUAUAUUACAUGUUUGACAUAUAAGAUCAUUUUCAAUCAUCUUUCCAUAAAAAAAAGUUGAGCUAUAUUACAAACUUAACAUAUAUGACCUUUUACAUUCUUGAGGUAUCAUUUUGGCUUUGGUGACCUUUCGCUCUUGCUAGAAUGUGAUAUUGUUUUUCGGGUAUAGUUCUCCAAGUUUAAAUGGUCCCUAAACUUUAAAAAUCUCUAAUUAGGUCCCUGCUCUUUAGAGUUUUACUUUUGUUUUAAUGUUGUCCUUUUGGCCACUUUCGGCCAAUUUCUAGUUUCGAAAAGUUGCAUGUGAUGUAUACCUGACAUUGUUUUUCUUGCUAGAACCAGUGCCAGCAUCUGGGUGAUGAUGUGGCAUAAUAGGUGGAGAUUAUUAUUUUGAUGAUGUGGCGUAUGGGUGAUAAUAUAGCAUAUGGGUGAUUCUAUGACAUAGCAUGUGCCACAGUGGAAUUUACUGUCCAACAGUAUUCGAUCAAUGAGUGACAUCAUCACCUAUAUAUCAUAUCAUCACCCAUAUACCAUAACUUAUAUUUUUGAUUCUCUAAGUUUCACAAAAGUUUUUGCAUGGUCUUUAUAGUUUAAAAAUCUCUAAUUAGGUCCCUCGAUUUUCAAGUAUGAUCUAAUGUAGCCUUUUCAGCCGAUUCCAGCUAGUUUUUAACAUCAAGAAUGCCCAAAACUUCUAAUUAGGACCCACAUACCUCCCUUCCUCCUCCUUCAUGGCCUUUCCUUUGUCUUUGGCACCCUGCUCCUUUCUCCUCCACUUGGGAUGACCCAACAUCCACACCCCCCCUCCCCAAAAAAAAAAAAAUCUCCCCCUCCACCCUCGGCAACGACCGAGCACCACCACCCUUGUGACAACUCAUCCCCUUUGCCUCCUCAUGCGGCUAUCCUCCUUCCACUUUGCCUUCGCCAUGGCGUCGUGCUUGCUUUGCCUCGACUUCCUCCACUGGGCCCUCGCCCAUUAAAAACAAUUAAAACCGCAUCAAACUUUUGAGCGGUAAGCAAGAUCCUAUUUGGUUUAGCAUAAGUAGGUCGAGCAGAGCCCAUUUGGGCCAUUUUCUUUUUUAGAGCAAUUUCAAGAAUUCAUUCUAGUAUUAGUUCAUGUCAACCAAAUUCCUAAAGUGGAUUCUCAAUGGAUAGAUUUGACUUUGGAUAUAUGAUUACGAGCAACGAAAUUGUCUAAUCUUUUCCUUCCUCCAUAAUUCCUUGGGCUUUCUCUCCUCUCAACUUCCUCUUGGACAACCACAUGCAAGGAAGGCGAAAUCAGAAUUGAGACUUGUGUUGGCUGGCCAGCGGUACGAGUCGGUAUGGUUUCAUACUGGAUCGGACCGGUACAAACCGACAGAGGAGAAAAAGGGUACUGGGGAGGAGAAAAAGACAGAGAGAUAGAGUGGGAGAGAAAGAAAAGGAGGGAGGGGAAGCCAUCAGAGAGACCAUCGGAGGGCUUUCGGCUGGCCGUUGUGGCUGUCGGACGGUGCAAUCGACGCUUGUGAUGCCACGAGUGUGAAACAGGGGCGAUCGUCUUUUUUUCACAGGUUUAUUUUCAAAAAAUCUUGAUUAUAGUGAAUCUGGCAAUGGAUUUAUCUGCUUCACUUAAGGAAAGCCGGCAAACCCAUCGCCAGCUUCACUGUUUUUAAUUUUUCUAAAAAAAUUUCUCAAACAGUAAAGCCGAUAAUGGAUUUGCCGGCUUCAUUAUUCAUCGUUAUUUUUAAAAAAAAUGCAAUGAGUGAACAAGGGUGGUCACUCCUAUUCUGCAGCCGCAGCUCCGCCUGCACAUUUUCUGCCAUCUGGUGGCUAUGGCGGCCAUCCAACACCCUUUGAUAGCCUCUCCGCCAGUGGCAUCCCCCUCUAGUAUCGUCGCUCCCCUCUCUCUCUUGAUUAAUUAUCCUACCAGACGACACCAAGCUACGGAGGCCUCCACGGUCCUUCGCGGCCUUAGCAGGCCAUCGCUCCGGCAGCAUCGUCCCCUCUUUUCCUCCCCUUCUCCUCUCUCUCUCUCUUUCUCUUUCUUUCCCUCUCCAUCCAAUGUUCCAAUUUGCUCAGUUGAACCGUCUCGGUUUGCCGUCGGUACAGCUCAGAAUGUCUUGAACCAUCUGGUUCGGCGAAUGCUGACCACACAUCUCCUACUCUUCUUUGUAUUCUUUCCCAUCAUUUUUUUAAUUGGUUGGGAUUGUCUUUGAUUUGAGUUUGGGCUAUAAAGGAUCAGUCCUACAAUCAUAGCCAUCCAUGUACUGCUGUAAUCUGUGUAUUGCAGGAGGACCAUAAUCCAAACUCUUCUUUAACUUCUUCAAUCUCCUUGCUCUUCUUGUUGAUGCCUAUCAAGAUUCCAUCAUGUAGAUCUUCAAUCUUUUGUGCAAUAUAUUGCAAAUAUCCUCUUGAAACAAUGGCAAAAGUUAGACGGCCAAUCAAGAAAUAUGAGGAAGAAAACCCUAAUUAAUAUCAUACAUAUAACUUUGACUCUCAUCAUCAGUGAGGAAAAACAAACAAUCUGAAAAUAAUAGUUCUUUGUAAAAAAGUCAAACUUCUUCUAAAGCCCAAUGUUUCCGAUUCUUUAGGUCCUUUGUCCACGGUAUUAAACCUUAAAAAUCUAUAGCACCCCUUGCAUCUCUAGAAGUGUUGUUCAUGUUGGGAGGGUUGACAAGUUGCUGGCUCGCCCAAAGAUACUGUUUUUGGCCUAAUGCCAUUGAAUAAAGUUGGGAAGAGGUGGGGCAGCCUCCAAAAUUAGCACGUCAUGAAGAGCUCCCUUCCAAAUAUGUUUGGGGACAUGACGUUAAUAUUAAGAUAUAAAUGUUACAUGUCAUUGGUGGUCAAUCCGUUAUUGCCAAAGCAAUGAAAAGAUGAGCAUUCGGUCCAUAACAGCAUUACUUCUUUGUUUUCGCUUAUAGAAUGUGAGAAUCUUGCUCAUUGCUGAGGGCAGUAGGACAUCUCCCAUCUUCCAACAUUGGUCUUCCAAUACAUGGGAGUUGAUUACAUGGAAGUCCCUUUUGCUAGGUGGUAGGAGAAACUUUUUGUGCAUAUGAGCUGCCCCUGUUUUUUGUUUUCAAAAUCUAGUGUACCUUUGGAACAGAUCUAAGCGGGUGCCUUUUUUUCUGGAGAGUGGAAGGGGUAAAUUAAGUCAGAAACUGGUUGGAAUUGGUUGAAAAGGCUAUGUUAAAUCACACUUGAAAAUCUAGGGACCUCAUUAGAGAUUUUUAAACUAUGAGGAUCAUGUAAAAAUAUUUGUGAAACUUAGAGCAUCCAAAAUAUAAUUUAUGGUAUACAGAUGAUGACGUGGUAUAUGAAUGAUGAUGUGGCAUAUGGGUGAUGAUGUGACACUCAACAAUUGGAUAUUUUUGGGUAGAAAACUCCACUAUGGCAUAUGCUGUGUGCCAUUUCAUCACCCAUACACCACAUCAUCACCUAUGUGCCACAUUAUCGAAAUAAAAAUUUCCACCUGUUAUGCCAUGUCAUUAUCCAUAUGCUGAUAGUGGUGCUAACAAGGAAAAGAAUACCAUGUGUGCAUCACAUGCAACUUUUUGGAUCUGGAAAUUGGUCGGAAGUGGCCAGGGGGACGUCAUUAAACUGCAAGUAAAAUUUCAAGGACCUAAUUUGAGGGUUUUGAAGUUAAGGGACUAUGUAAAAAUGCGACCUAAAGUUGGAGUACUAAAACCAUAUGUUACCCUUGUUUUUAUGUAGUAGGUGUUAGAUGUCUCUUUAUUUGAGAUGAAAUUUUGAUCUCCCCCUUUUUGAUUUAAUUACGCCUAUAGCUUUUAGGGGACAGUUAUGAUUUGGCUAUUCACUUCAUCCAAAUUUUAUACGUAUUGGGGUUGGCUCUUUGAAACCCAUCUUUUGGAUUGUUUUCUUGCACUGGAUGGGCCUGCAUGUUCCAAAUAAUCAUUGCCUAAAGGGGCAAAUGGAGUCAGGGGAACAAAACUCCUAUUAAUUUUCUUUGGUUGUAUGUUUGGCUUAAUGGUCGGGAUGAGUUUAAUUAAAGUCAAUAUUUUAUAUUUUAAUGUGUUCUUAAAAUUGGAGUUUUUAAAUAUUCAUGACGAAAAUAUGUAGGAAUGAGGCCAUUUCCAAGAUAGUGAUGAUGGAUGAAUGGUUUUCUUUCUAAUGUUGGGUCUGUUCCUUUGUCCUUUUUCUUCCUGACUCUUUUUUCUACAUUGAAGCUUGAGGAUUUUCCUCCAUAAUUAGCAUUUCUUCAGCCUGGAAUAUAGAUUUGUUCCAUGCACAGAUGCGCUAGUCUUUUGACUGACAGAUCUGAGUCGAAUUUCAGGUCUAGAUGAUCUGUGGGUUUAAUCAACUGGACCUCCUCUACCUCUCUCACCAUAAUAUGAAUGUGAGCAUGAGUUCUAUGGGUAUAUUCUUGGACCAUUAUUCUUCAGAGUCUCAUCUCCUGACAUUUGAGCCCACACCUUGUAUUCAAGACCGAUUCACAAAUCAAAAUGAGCCACAGAGGUUCAUUUUAUCGGUGUUUUGCAUUAAACUAAUGUUCAUUCAAUCGCUCUCUUUAUUAGAUGACCACUAGUUUAACAUAAUCACAGCAGAAUUAUUACACUUAUUUAGAAGAUUUUAAGGUUAAUUUAUUCUGAUCAGGCAUCCAAACAGGUCAUUUUUGACCAAAAAUUUCAUUGUCAUGAUAUUGAAAUGUCGCAUGCCUCUUUGUCAGUUCAAACUUUGAUAACUGUGCAUGACUUUAUGUGAGUUCUGUUUCAUCCUUAUGUCUUAGUAAAUUAUUUCUAAGAUAAAAUCUAUUUUCUUCAAAACUUGCAUCUUGAACUUCAUUUUUUGGACAAGCAUAGUUGUAAAGAGAAUGAUCUCAGGCACAUUGUUUCAUGAAAUUUACCCUAUGGGAUGAUGUUGAUGAAUGGGACAUUCUUAGAGGGCUUUUAGUAUCUAAACAAAUGAUAAGCAGCAAAGAAAUAUUAUCUAGUUCACAAGAUGGAACACAGCAUCAUCAUGUGAAUGAUUUAAAAUGAUUCCCCUGAUAUUUGCUGUAUGCUGAGUUACUAAGAAAAACACCAAGUAGAAUGUGGAUUGAGUCUGAUUUCUCUUCAUAAUCUUGCUUUAUGCAAUUUCAAACAUGGUCUCAAAUCUUAGUGAGACGUCAUUGGGACGAUGUACCGAUCUGAGCGUCAGGAUACGACCGUCCCUGUCAUUAUCCCAGCAUCCUGAUCGACAUGUUUUGGAACAUCCUCUAAUCCAAGUGCUGGGAUGGAGCAGUACAGCAUUGUGUCCCAUUCCAUGGGCAAACCAGGACAGCCCUGUCCCAUGGGACUUAAAGCAUUGAUUUCAAAUAAUUUGCUGCUGCAAUAUCAUAUCUAUUUGGAGUCAUUUCCUUUCAGAAAUUGUAUUAUGUUAGCUCCGGUAUUCAUUUCAUUGGUAUCUAAUUUGAUUAUAUAUAUGUAUGUUUGUAUGUAUGUAUGUAUGCAUGCAUGUAUGUGUGUAUGAAUGUAUGUUAUUUUCUGGAUCUACUGGUUAUGAACUGUAUCUUAUGCCAAUGCUCUGAUACUUUAUUUGUCUCUAAUUUAUUUAAUAGUUUCAUAGCCAAAAAAAAAAAGGAAAAAGAAAAAGCCAUGGCAUACAUAUAACAUACAACAUACUACAGCUUAUGGGUUACCAAAUAAUUUUUAUGCAAUUAUAGGCUUUGGAUGAUAAGGUCCUUGACUCCUUGUAAUGUAUGAGCAAUUUCUUAAUAUCACUGUAGGAUUUCGUUGUUGCUUUGCUGGUUAAACCUAAACUUUCACUUGUAACUGUGACCAGCAACUACUCAUGGUAAAAAAUUUGAAUAUGUUUCUUUUAACUUUAUUCCAUGCAGCAUAGAUAUGAUAAAUGCAGUCUUCGUCUGAACAUUUUACUGUUGGUAAUUGAACAAGGGUUACUGAACUUUCUUUCUUUGUUUCUUAACCACAGUAAAUACUCUAAAGUAAGAAAAUGGACACUUGGGUUGGAAGGAGGAAAAGUACAAAUUGCUAUAAUUAGGGCUUCUGGAAGCAUUAGUCGUACUCGUAGUCCAUUAAGCAUCCCUAGCUCUAGCAUUGUUGGUGAACAACUAAUUGAGAAGAUCCGUACUGUUAGAGGUUGGUGUACUUGCUGUCCAGCUUUUAUAUAUUGCAUUGACAAUUAAUCUGUUAAUUGCUGUGUUAUAUUAAAUCAUCAAGAUUCUGUUGUGCCUGAUGAUUCCAAAAUAUUGCAGGAGGGGCCUUACAAUUGGCAUGAUGUUAUUGCAAUUGAAACUCUUGUAGUGAUACAACUGAAAGGAUUAUCAUUGAUCAACUCUAUUUUCUACAAGCUUUACUUUUUUUCCUUAGGACAAUGGCAUUUUAUGCACUUUACUAGGAAAUGUACUGGCAUCUUUUGCACGUCCGCUACCAUUAUCCUUGCCAAUUUACCAACAUAUAUAUAAUGUUAUAAAUAGGUAACAUCUUGGGUAAAUUUUAAUUGGAAAGAUGCUUUUAGUCAGUGGAUUAGUGCAUAGAGCUGUCUGAGAACUAGCAUGAGCAUAGCCAAUUAUGUGUAAGCAAUCAGAAUGCCAAGGUAGUAGGAAGUUGAUAUGAGAACGGCUAAUCAAGAGCUACUAGAAAUCAUUAGUACUUUUUGCAGAACAUAAAUUUGCACAAGUAGUGCAUAAAUUAGUCACAUCAUAUAGGAACUGCAAUCAAAAGGUCACAUUUGACUACACUGUUCUUCUCUCUUUAUCUAUUGUCUGUUUGAAUAUUCAGACGUGAUAUAUGGAUCUGCCUAAUUUUGUGGCACAGACAGUUCAAUUAUUUCACAUUUAGUAUGUUAUCUUAAUUUAAGGAAAAUGUCUUUUUUACUUUGUCGAUAUGGUGUCUGAUGUUAUCUGAUAUUUUCAUACCAACAAGAUUCUUGAUUAACAUGGCUUUUAAUCCAAUUUUUAAAUUUGUGGCCAACUAAUGCUAGAAUACCAUCCAUGUCAAAAUUGCCAUGAAUGUGAAUAAAUCAAAUUAUUAUUUUAAAAAUAAAUAUUGUUGUCUUUGCUAGAUUUUCAGCCUGACACAUUUAGCACAAGGACUGCCCAAACAGUCCUUCAGCCCCCAAUGACAAGACACUUAGAAGUCAAACCUCCAUAAAUGAGCAUGUCAUUUUCCAAAACUGCCAUUUGAAAGGAAGAAAAAUUAAACAUAUAAAAAGAUAGAAGGACAGAAAUGCCUACUAUCAGUUACCAUGAGUCAUAUCUAUAAUACUCCCAUCAUCCAGCCUUCACCUAGGGGGGGGGAUGAAGAUGCAGCUCACUGAGUAGUGUUUUUUAUGUGUAGAUGAAAGAUAUACAGAAAAGAGGUGCGAUUUGCUAGGUUGAUGUUUUUCUCCAACGAAAAAAUAGGAAUCAGAUGUUGGCCCACCAUGGUGCUCUGAGGAAAAAUUAUCUUGCAAAGAAUUUGAUGUCCCUGUCAAAUAAUUGAAUAGUGAAUACAUGUCUAGUUUCAUGGGAUUAAAAUAAAAGCUCACAAGUUUCAUGGUAUCAUAUUGACACUCUGCAACUUAAAAUAUUUAUUGUUUUGUGAUUUAAUUGUGCUUUUAAAUAGGCCCGCAGCCCAUUAUUGGCAUCUACAGUCAUCAGUGAUCUCAGCCAACAAGAAUUGGUUGUUUCCUUUAUUUUGUUUCUUUUUUUUCUGUAUCCAUUUCUCUCACGUUUUUUCUUUUUUCUUCAUUAGUGAUAUUAAACAUGAUCCUCAGAUCCUGUCUACAAAUGACAAGCUAAACUUAAUGUUUAUUGAUCAAAUGUGAAGAUUUUACUUUCGGAGGCACUCCAAGUUCCUCAUUAUCUAGAACUGUCACUUUGCACCCUGCGAUGUUAUUUCAUCUGGCUUUUCCACCUGCUUCAUACAACUAUGCUUGUAUAUCCUUGUCUCCACCAAAAAAUGAAAUUCAUUAUCCUAUUCUGGUAGUACAAGAUCAUCUUGAUCCUUGGUGUUUUAUUGUGGUGGUUCAAGAUCUUCCUAACCCAUCUUUAGUUUCUCGAGGGGCCUCCCUGAGUUCUAAACAUUAUAAUUCUUAACUUUGUUGCAGGAUUCGUUUAGGGCCUGUUUGAAUGAUUGGGCUGAAAAUCUUAUAGGAUUUGUGGUUGGGCCAAUACAACCAGCAAGAUUACAGAUUGGGCUGGCUUUAUUUUCAUAAAUACCUAGGGAUAGCUUUAGAGUGGGUCGGCCCAAAUCCCAUAGGGAGAAAAAAAAGACCUCAACAGGUCUUUCUCACCAGGCCCUUAGUGUGAGGGUGGCCUAUAGGGAUGAAGUAAAUUCUGUUAUCUUUUCAUGAAUUCACUAACAGACAAUCUUCUAGACAGAAACCAAAAUGCAUAACCAAUUCCUAAAAAUCUAGUUAAUAUACUCUGCUCCAAAAAAUUUACUUAGUUACCACCAGGGCUUGUUGGUUGCAUAUACAUGUUAUCGAAAAAUUUCAUAGUUCAUUUUAUGAUCAGUUCAACAUUAACACCGGAAGCAUUACUCUGACUUUAUCUAGUAAAUUAUUCUACAAUUUUUGUGGAAACUAAUUGCUACUGCCAAAACUGUUUUAUCUUAAGAAGUGAUCUGAGUCUCACUCUUCAAAAUCAUUAUUCAUGUUCUAGUUCUUUGUUUUCUAUGAUUUGAAUUAAGCAGUUUCUUCUUUCAGACACACAAAAGUAUAAAGCUGUUAUCUUGCGAAUUGACAGUCCUGGAGGUGAUGCUCUUGCUUCUGAUUUGUAAGUGGUAAUUAAUAGCUCAUGUCUCUUUUCAUGAUUGACAUAGGACUUGCACAAACUAGGAGCAAUAUUUCUUGAUUUCAGGGUUCAGCUUUAACAAUCUUGUGUCAUAUGCUGUGCCUUUGAACUGGACUGGUCUAAGUUUGAUUAGUAGGAGAAUUAUGGUUUUUUUUUUUUUUUUAAAUUCUUUUGUAGUUAUUCGACUUGAUUUCUAUUUUAUUUCUACACCUUUCAUUUUUCAAAUUUCUUGAGUUUUUUUUCCUUGUAUCAACCCCCUGCCCCCUCCUCCUCCUAAGACACUUUUGCCUACCAUACAAAGUGUAAUUGUUUGUUUCUUGGAUUUCAACUUACUGCAAAAAGAGGUAAUGAUUUAACUUUUCACCAUUGUUCCUAAAACCAAUGCUUUGCUAAAUGUUGUUGACAUACAUUUUGGUUGCAUGCAUGGUUCUAGAUGCAUUUUCAUUUUGAUAUUAUGCAUGCUACAUUUCUGUUGUGAUCUACAUUGUAGCUUGAUUUUCUAGAUGGAUACUUGGUAAAAUUGGUAAACGAAUUCUAAGACUAGAUGUUAAAUUACAGAAGGGACGAACAAAGUGCAAAAUGUGAGGGAAUAUCAAUCUUAAGGGUGCUUGCAAGUAAGGCUUGAUGAGUCAACUUAUGGGAGCUGGUGCUAGAAACUGGGGUUGAUUAGCACAGCGGAAAUUAAAAUUUUGUGAUCAUAAACACAGAAGAGAAUUAAAUUUUUAGAUCAAUAUGAUGCGAGAUCUCAUCUCGAAUCAACCCCUGAUCCCUCAUAGUUGUUAAGAUUAAGAUUAAGAAGAAGAAGAGCAGAUUUUCAUUUUUGCGUGGGUAGUUCUUCACCGCAAUCUGAUAAUUGUGGAUGUCUUCAUGGUUCCUUUGAAGUCGCACAAGCGUCCGGCCUCUACAGGUAUUCACACAGAAAAGAUCAAGAAUUCUUCCUAAUUAUUUUGAUUUCUUUCACAAGAAAAUCAGUACGUAGAAUUUUGUUUGCAGCCUUUGAUCAUGCUUCAAUUCUUGGUCACUAGAUGCAAGAAAGGAAGAAAGAAAAAUUUUUUUAAAAUAUCCAAUUCCUUCGGCAUUCUAGCUUCAGGCAUGAGAGAAAGGAGAGGCAUGGAGAAGAAUCUGAAAUAUGAUUUCUUUCUUUCUUACAAAAACUCCCAUGUCACAUGUUAGAGCCCAUAUAAAUAGGCAGCAAUCCUUCACACCAUAAAACUCUUAGGCGUCCAAGAGUUUAACCAUAACUUAAAACUCCUUAUCACAUAAGGAGAUGGGGUGCAAGAUGGACUCUCUAUGGUCUUGAACUCCUGCCAAACGUGGAUAAUGGUGCGUGAGAAGGUGGUUGGUGUCAAGAGGUUUGUUACGUGAACAUAAGAGGCGCUAGGAGUCCUUCAGGUGGAACUUCUUGGCACCUCCUACCUUCCCACAUGAAGCCUCCUUUUAGGUGGAAACGUGGUGUACAAAAAGGGGUUUAAACGAGUUGGCAUUUGGGCUUGAAUGUGAGAUCCAAUCUCAUAUCAAAAAGGAGUCGUAGUCCCAUGAGGUUUUGAUCAAAUCAAAUCUUUUGAUUUAGUCCAACCUUUUUAAUUCCUUAAAUCCUUAUUUGAAGCGGGUAUCUAUUGUGUUAGGGGUGGUUUUACCUUUUGAAAUGGUAGCAUGGUUUGACCAAAGAAAGCACCAAAAAUGUGAAAUAUUGCAUUUUUGCCUAUUGUUGUUCGGGUUUGGAUUAAGGAUUUGAUUAAAAAAAUUAUAGAACAUUUCAACAGUUAAGAAAAGAAAAAUAUCAGAAUCAAAGGAAGAAGGAAUUAAAAGGGUUAGACUAAAUCAAAAGGUUUGAUUUGGUCAAAACCUUGUGGGACUAAGACUUCUUUUUGAUAUGAGAUUGGAUCUCAUAUUCAAGCCCAAAUGCCAACUCAUCUAAAUCCCAUUUUGUGUGCCAUGUUUCCUCCUAAAAGGAGGCUUCAUGUGAGAAGGAAGGAGGCGCCAAGGAGUUCCAUCUGUAGAAGGACUUCUAGUGCCUUUUAUGUUCACGUAACAAACCUCUUGACGCCAAUCACCUUCUUGCACACCCUUGUCCAUGUUUGGCAGGAGUUCACAUCUAUAGGGAGUCCAUCUUACACCCCAUCAUCUUAUGUGAUAAGGAGUUUAAGUUGUGGUUAAACUCUUGGACGGCCAAGAGUUUUACGGCGUGAAGGAUUGUUGCCUAUUUAUAUGGGCUCUAACAUGUGGUGUGGGGUUUUUUGUAAGAAAAAAAGAAAUCAGAUUUCAGAUUUUUUCCAUGCCUCACGCUUCUCCUUUCUCUCUCUCAUGCUCGUAGCUAGGAUGCCCAAGGAGUUGGAUGUUUUGAAGAAAUUUUUCUUUCUUUCCUUCGUGCAUUUAGUGACCAAGAGUUGGAGCAUGAUCAAAGGCUGCAAACAAAAAUUUUGCAUGUUGAUUUUCUUGUGAAGGAAAUCAAACUAAUUGGAGAGGAUCCUUGAUCUUUCCUGUGUGGAUACCUGAAGAGGCCGGACGCUUGUGUGGCUUCAAAGAAACCGUAAAGACAUCCAUGAUUAUCAGAUUACGGUGAAGAACUAUCUGCGCAAAGGUGAAGAUCUGAUCUUCUUCUUCUUAAUCUUAAUCUUAACAACUAUGAGGGAUCCGGAGUUGAUUCGAGAUGAGAUCUCGCAUCAUAUUGAUCUGAAAAUUUAUUUUUUUGCUAUGUUUAUGAUCACAAAAUUUUAAUUUUCGCUAUGCUAAUCAACUUUAGUUUCUAAAAGUGGUAUCAGAGCACUUGAUCUCAUCAGGGUGUUAGCAUCCUUGUAGAGAUUCUUUUUGAUGAUGGAUUUAUUUUUUCUUUUGUUGAAAAUUCUUUUCAAGGAUUUCUGUCUUUUUUUUGUUGAUCAUGCUCCACACACGAACGGAUUUGGAACCUUUUUUGAUUCUUUCUUGAUUUCUUUCUCAGGAAAAUCGAACUCAGCCUUUUGAUUUUCUUCUCAAGAAAAUCCAGCUCCUCUUUUUCUUUUGCUUCCCUUCCCUUUUCCUUUUGGCAUGCACCAAACUCUUGGGUGUGGCAUCCAACUUGUUUUUGGGCAUCCAAGAGAGAGAGAGGGGAGGCGUGCUCAAACUAAAAUAAAAAAUAAAAUGCUUAUUGAAUAAGGAUUUCUAAUGACAUGGAGAAUCUAGGGUUUAACCAUGUGCUAGCAUGAUAAUCUAAAAUCUUUUAGAAUUUCACAAAUUCUAAUUUGAUUAGGACUUCUUCAGUCUAAUCUUAAAUCCUUGAUCUAUUUUUUUGUGUGUGUAAUCUCAUAGGUUUUAUUCUAUCUGGUAGUGAGACAUUGUGAUCUCUAUCACGAAUAUCAUUGAAACUUCUUUCAAUGGAUUGAAAUAAUUCCUACUCAAUGAGAAUUAUUGAUCAUCAAAAUAAUUCUCAUGAGUCACAAUCCAUCAGUGAUGCCUGGUAGUAUGUAGUGGCAUGUCAGCGGAAUGGAAUAAGUGCACUUCUAGGUGUAGUUACCGUGUGAUUCAGUUCUUCCAUUGCGAGUCCCAAUAAGAUGGAGAUUAUGGAAUUUCUUGUCAAACCUCAUCGUUUGUCAUAUGUCAAAUUUAUUUGACUCGAGUUCUUGAUGUGAAAAUUAUGAAAACUCUUUUUCACUAUUCACACUAUCCUGAUCAAGAUUUUUUGAACUCGGUCUCAUAAAUCACAUAAGACUAACUUCUUUAUCUAUCAAGGACGAUAGAUCUCAUAUAGGUGCAUAUCCUAUCAUACAGUGAACCUACUGCAGUCAAUAUGCACCGCAAGGAUCCAUAUGGCUAGGGAUCAAGUGUAUGUACAGUCAAACUGCAGCUAUCCUAUUGUGAAUAGCCGAGGCACCGUAGGUCGAAGAACUAGUCAUACAACUGCAACAUCGAGCAAGUCACUGAUGAGUGAGUAGACAUCCAAGUGACUUCUUGUAUAAAUCACACUCAGUACUCUUGUUAUCUAACAACGACCUGCACUUGCUCCAGUAUCCCCACACUAUAGACUCGAAAUUCGUCUAGCCUAAAGAAAACCGAUCUAUGCACCAAUCUAUUCAGAUCAAUCACCGUCCCCACGAUGAUCCAUCGAUCGUGAACUUUUAGGAAUUAAUUAUCAAUGACAUAUACCUCAAAUUCUCAACUCUUGAGAAUAUGUGUCAUCAUCUUAUUAAUUCUUUGGAUGAUUUAUAGAUACAUAUACAACAUGAAUGAAAUAAAUAAUCCAAUUUCAUAGAUAUCAAAUACAAAAUUAUGUCCUAGAAUAAUUAUGUGUUAGCAUGAUUGGCUUCUAAGACAUACAUCUAACAAUUUGAUAGCAAAAGUAGAUGCAGAUUUUGCCUGUUUGAAUAUUUUUAGGUGCUUGUAGUGGCAAUAAUGCCUUGAGCAAUAAAUGGUCAUGCAAAGAUUGUGUAAUAGAAUGGAACUAAGAAGGUGAUGACCAAGGUUUAAAUCUGCAUCUGGUUGCCAUAAUAGAUUCGUUGUGGUGUACUGAUAUCUAUCUGUACACUGCAAACCCAUGGUAGAAGAAAAAUAAAAAGAUAGUACGAUCAUAACCUCUGAUAGUGGAAAAACUGAAAAGCAAGCAUAAUAAAGAAAAGAAACUUAAAGCCUUAUUUCGAUGUAUUUUUAUUGUAGAUGAAAUAAUAAAUCUGGCACAGAUGUUGACAUUUCUCAUCCACUAGUGGAUUUAAAAGCGUAUGCAAGAGAUAUAUAAAUGGGUUCAUAUGCAUGUAAUGCAGUCUACGCCUUGUAUUAUUUACUUGAUGCAUGUAAAUCUUUAGAUGUCCAUUCAUAUUUAUUUGUUCUCUUAAUGUAUGAUGUUGCUUUAUGCUUAAUGUUUUAACAAGUUUUAUUGAAGAUUUUCUACUCCAAGAGUCAAAUGGUUGUGUUUUUGUUUAGUACAGGAUGUGGAGGGAGAUCAAGCUUCUUGCUGCCACUAAACCUGUGAUUGUAUCAAUGGCUGAUGUUGCCGCAAGUGGUGGAUAUUACAUGGCUAUGGCAGCAGGAACAAUUGUUGCUGAGAAGCUUACUUUAACAGGUUCAAUUGGAGUUGUCACAGGUGAAUUUGAUGGCUUGAUCUUUCUUGUGGUUAUUUACAGAGAUGCUGCUACACUAGAUAUUGGAAUGCCUGUUGCUGACUGGCCUUUCCUUUUGUGGAAAUUUGUGCAUCAAAACAUUCUUUUUGGACAAAAAUUUACUGGGGAUAAAAUCAUCAUCUAAUCUGUGAGAUUGUCUUUCAGUCUAACUAUGGUUGGAACUCUUUAUUGAUUUUCUUACACCUACUUGGUACUAUUUUUCUACCUAUUUUUUAUGCUAUUAUAUACUUGCUUUAUAGUUGACCUUUUCCUUCUUUUUAAUUUUGAGAUAGAAGGAGAGAGGUCAUGUUGUAUUUAAAAUUACCUAGGUCAGAUUUCUUGGGGAUAGACUGCCCAAGACUCGAGUGUGAGACUUCUGCUUUUAAGGUGAAGAGAGAUGACCCUGCAGCAAUGCCCAAUUUAACCUUUUGUGACUUGAAUUUCCCUUUAGUCCUUUUCUAUGGAAAUCAGGUUUUUGAAAUACGAACUACAGUAAGGGGAGUUAUAUAUUGCUGGUUUUGUUUUGCAUCCGGUCAUGUCCUCCCCAUUUUGCUCUCUCUCCCCCGCUCUUCAUCUUUUUUUCUUCAGUCCACUUACCAUAUGGAUCCAAAUUACCACCAUGGUAUUAAUGCAAAAACAAAGGACAUCAGGUUAAACAGGUUUUUUAUUUGACUAGAAAAUAUUCCAAGUGAAAUAUGAUGCAGAGUUUUUUGUUGAUUGAAGACCAAACCUUCUUUGUGUAUUAUUUUAGAAGUGGCAAAUUCUUGAAGACGAAGUGAAAAAAAUUCUUGUAAACCUAAUAAUUGAGUGGAUACCAAUAAGCGAGGACAAGGCAGACGAGCUGAUGUGGCAUCAAUUGGGGACAGCUUGCAAGGACAUAGUUGGACUGAGGAAUGGGAUUUAACUUGGAUUAAGAUUGAUCAGAUUGUUUGCUGCCCUUAACUUGUAUAUGGGACAAAAAUGAUCAAUCUUUGAAAUUAAGAUCUAAUAAAAGGUCAAAAAAAACCUUCCCUAGAGUUUUUAUGUUGAGAAUGAGCAAUUAAGGCUCUCUAGGAUUUUAGGCUAAACAUUUCAGAAAGAAUCUGCAAGGUUUCUGUAAGUAAGGUGCACACAAAAUUCAGUUUAUAUAUUUAACUACAUUUGCAUUUGCUUGUGUGUACCCAUCUUCUUCCUUUGUAACUGAGCUUAUUUUGAUAAAUUCUCUGUUGAUAUACAUUUAGACAACCCACUUUGUUGAAAUCCGUUGAAUGACAUGGUAAUAACUUCAGAUGCUAAAGGCAGAUUGCAUGUGAUAAACUUAGUGUGUUUAGAGAGUUCUAUCUUUUUGUCUGUAUACUUACAAACUUGUUUUGAAAGCUGUGGAUUCUGACACAGUAUAACUUGCAGGGAAGUUCAGUUUAAACAAGCUUUAUGAAAGGAUUGGCUUUAAUAAGGAAAUAAUUUCAAGGGGAAGAUUUGCUGAGCUUAAUGCUGCUGAGCAACGUCCUUUUAGGUGAGUAUCUGUUGCUUUUAUAGCUGCUAACUAUUGUUACCAUUCAGAACUGGUAGCUAUUGUUACCAUUCAGAACUCAAACCUGAUGAGAGGAAAAAAGUUAAAAUAAAAACUAAAUCGAUCAAGCAUCCCAUGUGUCUGCAGUGAACUAUAUCUUAUAUGUUGCCAUUGCAGUAUGGCAGAUUUAACCCUAUAAGGACAAUGGGCCAAGUAAAAUGUUUGUUGGUCUAAAAUAUCAUCUAAUCCACCAUAUUUUUUUAGUUUUGGGUUAGAUGGGUGUUUUGGCCGUCAAGAUUACAGGUGAUGAUCAAUAGACAGUAGUGAGAAAGCUCAAGAGCCUUAGGGUGAGCAGUGCAAUGAGGGAAAAAUUGGUGAUAAGAAGCUCCACUGUUGUCUGAAUAGUAUGUGCAUCAAAAAAUAGACACAUUGAGCUAAUAAAGUUGAAUGUGCAUUGCUGCUGCAUUACAAAUAACUUGAGAUUAAAAGCAGCUUUAAUUUACUUGAAGCAUCCAGAAUGUUUUAACCUGAGCAUGUUGUUUUCACUAAGCGUUGACAAAGCCAUAGUCUCAGCAUUAAUCAUGUUUUCAAUAGGAAUUACUGAAUCUUGCUGCCAAAGAAGGUACCUGAGGCCAUCCUGCACUCAUGUUAAAGAUGUGCUUCAAAUAAUGAUUUAAAAUAUCAGCGUGGCAAUCAUUGUAUUGUCUUCGUAGGGUGAGAAAAGUUGUUAUACAAUGGACAAAUACCAAGUAGAUAUAGCAUUAUCAUGACAUCUAAAAAUAAACCAAUUUUGAGGAAUGCAUGAUGAAGCAACUCAAAUCUUGCAGUAGGGGCUCGCCAUAGGCUGUUGAUAGCAUAAUGUAUGAUAGAGAUAUUGUGGGGAGGAUAAGGGAGGGUAGGAGGCUUCAUGUAAACCUCCUUAGAGAUCACUUAAGAAAACAUCCUAGUCAAUGCCAUAAUUUAGGCAAAAGCUAUGAGAUAGUAGACAGAUAUUAUGAAGCUUUAUCAUGCCGUUAUAGCAAAUUUGGAAAUUCAUAGACUCAAUUAGGCAUGAUGGAAAACCUUUCUGGAGGGAGGAGAAGAGAUAGCAGUGGUGAGAUUGCCCAACACUGUGAACCAUUGGGUGCAGUUCUCUUGGUAGGCCUAGUGAAAAUGAUUGAUUGUGGGAUGAAAAUGGAGCAAUGGAAAAUAAUUGCUCUUCUUCAAUCAUUCGUACAAGCUAGUUGCCAGGGGGAAACCACAUUGUUGGUAUAAUCUAAGAAUUUUGAAAACUCGGGGCUUUAUGUUGAAGAGUAAAAUAAAGACUUUUGCCAGUGGACUAGAGGCAUGUCUGUUAUUGCUUUUGCUUGAAAGGGCUUUCUGUAAGGCAUUUCACUGGAUCUACCUUUCAGAUAAGAACUUUUUCACUUGUUUGAUGCUUGCUAACACAUGACAUUAAAGCAUUUUCUAAAUCUGUUUGGUUUUCGGUAUGAUUAUUUAUAAUUUGGAAGGUUUAAAUCCAAAUUAGUUGAUUAAAUUUUACCUAAUUUAGGUGCACCUUAAUGAAUGCAACUGAUUGUUCUUGUGGGAAUAAUAUAUGGUUUUUCAUGUAAGCAGGAGCCAAAAACUAGAGGCAACUAUUUAGCUUAUGUGAGAAGCACUCGUUAUUGAAUGUUACCAAACUCUUCUUUUUGAACCAGUUCUUUAGGAAAAAAAAAAAAAAACAAGAAUUGCUCUUCUUUAAGCAAUGCCAAACAAGCCAUUGGUUUAGUUAUUAUUAUUAUUAUUUUCUUUUCUCUUUUUCAUUGUUUUAGGCCCUUAGGUAGUUCCAUUCAAUUGAAAAACUAACUUGCUUCCACAUCUAGGAUUUUACAAGGAAGCACCUACCAAUCUCAUAUAUUGAUCUUGAAUUUGGCAUGACUGUAUCUGCAAACCGAUCAAUAUGCCAAUUUAUAAAAAAAUGAAACUUCUGCAAGUUAUGCCAGCAGCUGAUCCUAUGUUUCAUUACUGCAUCAAAACUUAGGACUUAGGAGUCUGUUUACCCCCAAGCUCUAAUCAUGAUUCUUUGCCUUUUGGCUCUAAGCUGUAAAACUAUGACAUUGCAUGAGAUUCUGCCACAUAAAAGGCACUUCUAGUGAGUAGCGUUCCAUCGAAGUUCAAUAGAUGCAUAACAAUGCAGUUUUGGAGAUGCUGCUCGUCCAACUCUACAUUUUUCAGUGACUGAAGCAUUAGGGGCUUAACAAGACUUGGGUCAAGCCAUUCUAUGACUUGUUUGCUUCUUGCUUCCUUGACUAGAAUCCCCCACGUAUAAUUGCAUAGGCACCUUACAUCCGUGGGAGUUUACUGGUCGACAAUCUUUCUUAUCCGAAAGCUUACAUCUCACGCCAAGUUGUCUGACCUGCAUAUAGUUUAACUCUUAGUUUGGAUGCCAUAACUUGCAUUAAAUUGUUCUUGCUCAGGUUCUCUAAUGAUCUGUCGAGGUUGGACACUUGUGAUGCAAGUAUAGAACUCUUUUUUCUUUUUUUGUUACAGGCAGAUGCUCACACUGAUCUAGCAUGAAUAUGCCCCAAAAGAUCAAAAAACAAAAUAUCCUAAAGAGCAUGUGGGCAAGUUUGACCCUGAUGCUAGAUCCAGUCGCUAGUGUGUUCAGCUACAUAGGAGGCGACCCAUUUAGCGGUACUAUUUGUUUUUUGGAAGACAUGCUGAACAGAGACCGUAGUGAAGUCAUGAAGGCAGGUCCGGAUAUCCUAAAGUAGAUAGGCCUCUGCUUGCAUCGUAUCACUCUGAAUCCAGCCUAUCACGAUAGCAGAGUCACCCUUAAUAAUAAUCCUCUUUGCUCGCAGUUUCUAUCAGACAGAUAAUGCCAGCCCAGGCAGUGCGGAGCUCAGCACCUAAGAUGGAAGGGUCAAAGAGAAGGGAUCCCUCCAUAGCUAGUAAUCUCGCAUCAGGUCCUUAGAUGACAAAGCUAACACCUCCCCUACCAUCGCUCACACUAUCGUCGAAAUUUAUCUUGACACGACCCGAUGGAGGGGCUCCCAGAAAAUAAAAAUAACCCUUUGGGUCGCUACAGGAGCAGUAUGGGCACCCUAGGAAUUAGAAGUAUCAAGGUGGAUCCCGGCAGCGUCGAAGCAGCUGUACUCUGCGGCCAAAACAAUAGGCCCUCUCCAACACGGUGGGCUGAUAUCAUCUUAGCUUCAAAGAUCAGGCUGUCCCUGGAGAGCCAGAUUUGAUAGGCGAUGUAUCCCAUCCUAACCCCAGGCACAGGUAAACCUCUCGUAGUACUCUGUUGGAUCGCAUCCAGAAAAAAAUCCUGCCAAGGGCCAUUGCUCGCCUCCCACGACUGACCACCCAUCCUCCAUAUCAUUCUCGCUCUCAAGCAUCACAGGAGGGCAUGCUCUAUGGACUCAUCCUCUAGCCUAUAGACUUGACAGGACACCGCAAGCUCCAUAUCCCUCCCUAAGUAAGGUGCAUGUCGGAAGUCGGUCCCGGACAAUCUUUCAGAGAAAGAGCCUCAUCCUGAAAUGAGCAGCCACCUUCUAAAUCCAAGCUGCAUCAAUCCUGGUACUCGUUGCUGGCGUACAUAGCUUAGACAGAUCUCUCGUGGGGGCUCUUGGGCAGCAAGAAUGGCCCCACACUCUCAUAUCAUGGCUAUGAUGGAUAGGAAUCAAGAUGGUGAGGAUCUGAUCCACAAGUGGGCCAUCGAACAGACGGUUGAUGUCCUGAGCCCUCCAAGCCUAUCGUUGGCAGUGAUCAGAUCACAAACAUGAAGCUGGUCAUCCAUUUUCGUGCGGAUGAAGGUUGGCCAUC
Molecule: long non-coding RNA, 61427 nt
Filed under: Elaeis guineensis (African oil palm)
Lineage: Eukaryota; Viridiplantae; Streptophyta; Magnoliopsida; Arecales; Arecaceae
Description: long non-coding RNA (EGUI_LNC037953)
Source: RNAcentral